GCCAUCUUUGUUUGUAUCAAAUUUGGCGAAAACCCAUUUCAUUUCAUCUUCAUUUGGUUCGAAAGAUUUUGGUUCUGGCGGUGGCGAUGAAACACUAGAACUUUGUUUGUAGAUUCUUGAAUAGGCUGGUUUUAGUGAUGGUUUUCUUGAAAGACCAUGAAAGCUAAGAAAACUCAUAUUUUUUGAAGACAUUUGAAUUUUUCUUGGAUGAUAUGGCUAAAAAUUGCAAGUAGAUGGAAAUAAUAUUUGUAAUAACUUGCUAUGGAUUCAAGAAAUCAUAACUGACUUAUAUAUACACACACACAUUUACAAGCUACAGGGUUGUGGUUUAUCACGAACCAUGAACAUCUUCUUUUAAUUAGCUUUAUAUCUUUUAACGCGGAAGAAUAUUUAUUAUAUACUGUAUAAUAUAAAAGAAGUGGUUGUGAUUUUGGGAUCUAAAAAUUUGUCCAUUAUGUCAUUUUUAUGCUGUGCCCACUUCCACACAAGUUGAGUAAAAUUCUAUGCUACAUUCAUGAAUUAAUAGAGGAAAAGCAUUUGCAAACUAAAGAUACUUUUUUUAUCUAGAUUUUUGUUGUACUCUCAUUCUAAAAAUAAUUUUCGUGCCUCAAAUUAUAUAAUAUUAUUUAGAAUUAAUUUAAAUAUUAAUCUAAUUAAUAGGUCAAUUUAUUUUUUUAAUUUAAUUGAUUUUUUUAUUCAUUAGAAUAUCCACGGACCAUAUGCAUUGAACCUAAAAUCUCUUACUCUUUACGUAAAUAAAAAAAUUGAUUUUGAUUUUAUAUAUCAUUAAAUUAUUGAAAUAAAUUUAAUACAGUUUACAAAACUAAAUUGAUAAUCUAAUUAUUCUUUGUUAGGUAUUAGUUGGAGAAUUGAAUUAUUGGAUUAACUUUUAGAAGUAGUGAAAGAUUUGAAAACCUCAUCCUUAAACGCGCUUAUUGCCAUUUUCUAUUAAUUAUUAUUAUUUUUUCUAUAUAUUAUACGUGUCCAGCAUUUGGUUGCUCCACUUCUUCUCAUUUGUAGCCUCAUGUCUAAAGUAAUAGACCGAAGAUUAUUUUUGAACCUCAAAAAUUUUGUUCUAGAAAGAAAGUGUUCUCUUGUGGGCAUCCAAAAUUAAUGUAAUUGCACAUGUAUUGCUGAGAGGAGUUAUUGGGGCUCUGCAGUGGGUUGGUUCUGAAAUUUAAUCAAAUUGAUUCAGUUUUAAUCGAUUUUUUUUAAUAAAUUUAACAUUUUUAUAAUUGAUACAAUAAUCAAAAUUACUUAAAAUUAUAAAUUUAACUGAAUCUAAUAAUUAAAUUUUAAAAUUAAAUUAAUUUGAUUCAACUUUCAAUUUUAAUUAUAUUAUAUGAUCAUCCUUAGCAAUUAUUGAUAUUUAUAAGGUGAGCAGUAUGAUAAUUAAAUAAAAUGAUUUAAUACAAGAAUAUAUGUUCUUAAAUCACUUAAAAAACUAGUUCAAGUGAAUAUGAACUGCUCCAAAAAUGUAACUUGACCGUAAAAUCAAAAUAUAUACUCCACAAUUUAUUUUGAACAAAAUAAUAAAUAAAACUGAAUCGGAAAGUGAGGUUGCAAUUGCAAUAAGGAUGUAGCCGACCAAUGAAUAAUUUGUACAGAUAAAUAUUUUUUUGAUAGAACGUUGCUUACAGUAACUGUAGCAUUGCAGUCUUUCCUAGGUCGAGAAACUUGUAGCCCAACUUGUUUUUGGCCCAUAAGCCCAUUUUGACAUGGGCUUCAGUUGUUACUCUCAUUAUACUCGGUGUCCGACGACAUAUCCGCGUGCGUCGUUAAUAUGUUUAGGCAGUUAUGUGAAGACAAGUAGACGACGUAUUUUUGUAAACUGCAAUUAUUUUUCUUGAUAAAUGUCGUUUGAAUUUUAAGCCGUGGUUCGACGACAGAACAUCGUACGGCAUUAUCAGCAGCUCGAGAGUCGAGAGCUUAAUGUCGCCCUAAACGACAAUUGAUUUUUUAGCGAUGGAAAGGAAAACAGUACUACACGGAGUCAUUGUCUUGCCUCCUACAAGCUCCAAGAAAGAAUUGCGUCAUUGGCCUGGUUUCCAUCUUCCAUUCCAAGAAAUCAGAGUGAAAGAGGAAAGGCAGCCUUUUAUGUAUCUCUUCUUAAUAAAAUUCCUUGCUUAUUUAAAAAAAAGUACAAAUAUAUCUAAUAGAUUUAUGAAUAAUCCUGACAAAUUAAUUAGUAGGUUGGCGGGGAAGAUUAAUUAUAAAAUAGAAUUAAUAGAAAACAUUAUAGGAUAAUGAAAAUGGUGAAAAAACAAAUAUGAAGGUAAAACUAGGAAUUUUCAAAAAUUACAAAUAUUUUGUAAAAUAUUCAACCAAGCAGAAAAAACACAAAUAUGCCUUGUACAAAACUUCUCUUACAAAAUUAAAAAAUGUAAAACUUAAAAAAAAAAAAAAAAAAAAAAAAAAAAAAAGGACUGAGGAAUCGUAAAGUUGAUUUCUAAUCAACAAGCGUGACUGAAAUCAAUCCUUCAAUGUUUUUUGUUUUACCCUCUGCUUCUUCUUCUUCACCAACCCAAUCAAUACCAGUUAACUCUCUUGCUCUAUUUGCUUCCAUUUCCCAAUCUGUCCUCAUCAACACCACCACCAUAAUAACAGCACAAACAACUUGAGCAGCCAACAAGCCCAACCAAAGUCCCAGUAAGCCCAAGCCCAUCACAAAGCCCAUUAAUAUAGCAAUAGGCAAUCCUAUACCAUAAAAAGAACUCAAAUUUAUAUUAGCACCAAGAGUUGGCCUAGCACUGCCUCUCAAUACCCCACAGCCGGUAGUUUGAGGGCAGUUCCCUAGCUCACAAAGCCCUACCACCGGCAUUGCGGAGGCAGUCAACGACAAAAUGGCAUUAUCGGUAGUGAAAAUUUGACCCCAAGCAUGCCUCAUCGAUAUCAUGAAUAGCAUCGCAAUAAAACCCAUGAAAAUAGCACAUGACAAUGCAACAACAGAAGAAGUUUUUGCUUUGCUAGGCUGGUUCGCCCCUAACUCAUUCCCUACUCGAGUUGAAACAGCUAGACUCAGCGCUGAAGGGAAAAUAUAAAGAAGAGAAGUCGCUUGUAUUAAAAUUCCCAUUGUAGCAACUGCAUCAGAAGCGUUUGUUAAAAGUCCCGAAAACACUAUCAUAAGCUCAUACCACCACCAUUCUAAACAAACAGAAACGCAACUAGGGAUAGCCAAAUCAAGAAUCGGCUUCCAUUCAUCGAAACAACGAAGAGACCAACCUUGCCAUGACUCUCGACAAAUGCCAGAGAAACAAAGGUAAAGCAAAAGAGUAACGAGAAGAUUUAAGUCUGUUAUAGUUACUGCAACAGCUAUGCCUUGUAUGCCAAGGUGAUAAACAAGUAUGUGGUUUAUUGGAACAUGUAAAAUUAGGGCAAAAGCUGAACUUAACAUAAGAGGAAGAGUUAUAUUUUGAGUUCUUAGGUAGAUUUUAAGAGGGUUGAUAAAAGAUUGAAGAAUUAGAUCAGGAAGAGAGAAAGCUAGAUAAGUAGAAGCAAUGGAAGAGAUUGAAGGGUCUUGACCACAGAAUAUAAGGAGAGGCUCAAUGUUUAGCCAUAAAAGAGAAAUGGGUAUGCAACAUAAUGUAAGAAUUGCUAUCGUUCGUUGAAGAGUUUGGCUCAUAAGAGGCCAUUGCUUGGCUCCACAAGCUUGAGAGGAAAUAGCUUCCAUUCCCAUAGCAAGACCAGAGAUAACAGAGUAACCAGAAAUGUUAGCUAUUCCAAUGGAAAGAGAGCCUCCUGCUAAUACUUCUUUCCCUAAUUUACCCAUGAAGAUCAUUGAAAUUGCAGACUUGCCAUAGAUGAGAAGUCCUGUAAUGAUCAUCGGAAAGGCUAUGGUAUAAAGCUGUUUGAUUUCUUCAACAGCCUGAAAAUGAUGAAAAAGAGACAAAAACAGAUUAAUUAAGAACAAAAAAGGAUACGUAAUUAACUUUAGGUUAUUAGAAAAGAAAGGACAAGAAACGAUGGUGGCAUAUUGAAAAUAACCUGUGAAAGAGAAGGCCUCCAUGAUUGGUAUUGGCAGUAAAGAGAAUCUUGCUUAUUUUUUUCUUUUCUUGAUUUUCCAGAAUUAUAACGGCUUAACAGAGGAACAGAAGCUGAACCUGAAAUUCCUUGAUCAUUCAUUUUAUAAAAGAUCAAGGUUUUUCUAUUCAGCUUGAAGUGUACAAACUUAUAGUAACUAGCUAAGAGAAAGAAAAAUAAUAAUAACAAAAAACAGGAGGUAUAUAUUUUAUUAAUUCAAGAUUCGAGUUGGGUUUUGAAAGAACAUUCUUUUCUUCCAAUCUCAAUCUCUAAUAUAUAUAUAUAUAUAUAUUAGAAAUGUGAUAAAUAUAUGCACAUUGAGAAGUAAAGGGAGAGAGAUAAAGUGUGUAGGUCUCUCUCUAGAAUUCUACUUUCUUUCUGUUUUUGUUAUUUACUAGCUUUCUCUCUCUAUAAACGACUCAAGGUUAGUUAGGGUUUGGUGGUGAUGAAGAGGAAUGGACGAGUGUGGGGAGGAUAAGGAAAGGAGGUGGCCAUGCGGGUGGUUCGUCUUUUUCUUUCAAGAGUUCGUCGGCACUCUAAAAACAAAUAAAUAAACUUCAAAUCCUUUUUUAUUUUAGAAAAAGAAAUAAAAUCCACCCAACUUAAGCAGGAAUGGAUUAUAAUUUUAUCCAACAAUAAAAUAAUAGUGGGAAAAUAUUAAUAGUAACUAAAAAAUGACAGAAAAAAUCCAAUAAUAUUUUUUUCUAUAAAUUUAAAUUUAUGGCAACGAGGAAUAAUAAGAGAAACUCAAGUUACAGUCGCUGGCAGCUCCUCUAAAUGCCUAACACGGAAAGCUGUCAACACAUGCAUCAUCUAAAAGGUCACUGUAAUGCCUUAAAACAGCCAUUGUUUCUCUAUUCAUGGCCGGUCCCUCUUCUUACUAAAAUAUAAGAAUCUUUUAGCUUGUGGGUCCCUCCCUUAAGGUGGGUUCCACAAUUGAGUUUUUGAGGGGUUCGGUUAAUAGUACUGUGCUAAGUACUAACGUAAUAUCAAUGAGGCUAGCACGUGUGUGCUUCCUUUGCCACGUGCCUUUGGUAAGCCAUGCACCUUUCUUGCGUGCUUUGUAUCUGAAGGUAAAACCCGAAAAACGACCUUCCGGUUGAGAGUGCGGUUUUAUUUAUUUGAAAUUCACAUUUUAAAAAAUCAUUUUAAUUGAUUUUUAAUAAGCAACUAUUUUAUUUUUUUUCUUAAAAAUUGCUGGAACAGAACUUUGCCAGCUGCACACGCAUGCCUUUGACUGAUCAAGGAGUAUUUUUGCCAUUUUCUACAAGAAUUAAGGGCUUUAAAUGCAAGCUUUAGGUAUGUCACGAAGCUAAUUUUGAUAUGCUAGCGGCAGAUAAUGGGCUGUCAAAUUGCCUUUUGGAGCACCUUAAUCGAUAAAAAGGGCCCCAUCUAUUUUAUUUUUGACCACAGUAACUAGAUUACAAAUGAGAAAGAGUCUUCAGAAGAGAAACUGAGUUUUCAAGUGCGAAUAGAAACUGGACCAAAAUCCAAGUAAUACCACUGUCGUUUUGUUAAAGGUAGCUCCAAGUUUUUAAGACAACAACUACUUUUUUUUAUGUCGUCGUCGUCGUCGUCAUUAUAAUAAUAAUUAUUAUUAUUAAAUUAUCUCACUAUGCAAUGAUUCCUGUGGGUGGGGUCAUAAUCAAUUAGAGUCUAGAAGUUAGAGAUUGGAUAAGGAUUCCACUAACUACACAUUCCUUAAUUAAUUAUGUAGCCUAAGAGCCAAUGGCCUCUCUCUUGAGUAAUAUCCGAGGGACCACGGCAUGCCACCAUACACAAAAUGAUCUCUUUUUAUAUAAUUUCUUUCGUAAUAGAAGAUACAGGGAUGAGGCAAGGACGUAAGAUAUUUAAUUUAUGUAGUAGUAUAUAAUAAACAGAAAAUACAAAAUACAAAAUGUAGACGACAACAACAGUCAAUUCUGUCUCCUUUCUUCCCUUCUAUUAGACAUGGCCUUCCUCUAAUAAAAUACUCCAUUAAUGGAGUAAGUUUUUCUCAAUUAAUUAAACUUAGAAGGGCUUAAUCCUCAAAAUGGGCUGGCAUUGUAUGAGAAGAUUUCACGUGAUUAGAUGCUCCACCUGAAACUUCUACUAAAUGGAACUGACCCACUACUCGUCUCGAUAAGUGAUUAUUAUUAUUAUUAGUAUUAUUAUUUUCGAUUUCUCAAAGUUUACUAGUUUUCUCACCUUAUUUCCCAACAUAAAAGCAUUUGCUUACUGCUAGUCUUGUUUAUUUGUCGAAUUUUAUUAAUUACGUAAAAUACAAUCUGUUCUUUAAUUACGCAAAAUAUUGUCUGGUCUCGAAAGGUAUUAUGCAGCAGAGAUCACAUUCUCUGAUUAACUGUGUUUUUUUUUAACGUCCAAACCUCAAAUUUAUGUACUUGAGCUUCAGUAAGGGGACCAUUAGUUAGGUCUUAAAAGCAAAACUUACCAACUAGAGCUGAACAUUUUAUUGAGCUGGACCUAUGCUAUGAAGGAGCUGUGCUCCUCUAAGCUAAACAUUAAACGUAACAAUACACAAAAACGUGUUAGUGGGACAGAUCAACUUCGCCGAUUCUGGCAUUCUGAUAUAGACAGGAAUUUCAACCAACAGAACAGAAUCGGCAAAGAUGGCGUCACUUUUGCCAAAAUGAUUAUAGCUUUAAAUUCCAGCAGAGAAUUAUGUUCUUUGUUAAAUUUCAAACAUAAAAUUCUACACAAAAAAUAACACAAACACAAAUCCUGUUGCUACUAGUUAAAAGCCUCCUUCAAAAGGGUUUUAACUAUUGAAUAAUCCUUGAAAUCAUAUAUGGGUUACCUACUAGUUAUCCAAGGAAGUAGUUUCCAAAUUGAUAAUGGAGCCAAGGGCAGUAAACUUGUUACUUUGACUAUUAUUAUCUUACACUUUUGUUCUAAUAAACUUGUUCUAUGGUUGAAUUUCUUUAUGGGAAAAAGAAAAAAAGAUCAAGCAAAGGAUAACUCCAUUGCAUUUGACCUGCAAGAAAUGAAGUAGUCUCCUAAUUAGCACCACCUAUAAAGGAAUCUUCUUAAAUCAGACAAAACCUAUUUUGUAACUAAACUCAAAGCUGAUAUGGUAACUAAGUUGUUGCUAACAACCAAAUUUUCAUUUUCACCCUCUUCAAUUACCGUACAGAUCAUACAGUUUAUAUGGAACAUGCAAACUAAGGUGGAUAAAAAUGUCAAUAUUGUUGCAACUACUCACAGAUUAUCCGAAUCAUACAUGAGGACUUCAAGAGUUGGAAAGAUUACAAGAAGUCAAGUGUCAUUUUGCUUUUUGUGGACAUUGCAGAUAAUAAAUCAUCUUCACAAGAUCUCAGAAAUCUGCAAUGUAAGGAUAUUUAUGUUAUCAUAUAUCCAGAGUAAAUGCAUACAAAAGGUCACCAUUCAGAAAGAAAAAGGAAAAGAUAUCCUGAAGCUACCCAAAAAUGCUUUAAAUAAUAAUACCAAUAAUGAUGACAACAAAGAAAGUAACAACCAUAAAUAUAAAAAGCUAACAAACAGAUCAAAUGAAAUAUCUGUCUAUCAUCAUGCUAGCUGUUUCUUUUUCUUUUUAUUUUUUUAUUAAAAAAUAAUUACGCUAACUCCUAGCCUACGCGCAUAAUUAUUUGGACCCUUAGAAUAAGUUAAAUGCUAUGUUGCCUUGGUAAUAUGCAACCAAUAAGUAGGGAACAAGAAAGAAGUAACAUACGUUAAUAGGCAUUUCAGCUAUGACAAGGCCGCUGCUCUCUUCGACACUUUUAAGAGUCACCACUUCUCCCCCAACAACCAUAUUGACUACAAUCCCAUCUGAAAAAGUUUGCAUAGAGUUAUUAACUUAUUAUGAAUUAAAAAACCGAUACUACUAGUACAUGUGUAAUGUGUGUUUGAGAGCGCGUGUGUGCAUGUGUGCACGUGUGUGUAUAUAUGUUAUUAAGAGAUCAACCUGCUGCCAAACAACUAGCCAUGCGUCUCGCAUAUGUUUCCUGCAAGCAGGCCAAAAAAUUGACAAAAAUCUCUAAAUUGAAUUCCUCAGUUAUUAGUAUCAAGGAAAAAAGUACAUACACUCAUGUAAUGAAAUAAAAAAGUUGCAGAAAACAAAAGCCUCAAACGAAACUGAAUGUGGUUUGUAGCUAACAUCACCAUCUUCGAUGGAGCAUUAGCAAAGGCAUGCAUGGAACAGACAAAUAGGAACUGGAAUUGCUUUGAGCCACUUCCAUGGGAACCAAAUCAAUCAGUGAUUGACCAGCAAGUAUUUAGAGCAUCUCCCUGUUAAGCGUAUCAGAUAAGGGAAGCCCUUUGGCCCAUGAUUGUUGUGAUCUUUUUGUCAAAAAGUUGGGCUGAACCGAGUAUUAGUGAACCAACCCUUCACAAAAGGUUGGGCUAAGUAUGAUAGAUCUCUUCAAGUACUUAGAAUUCUUAGAGAUUGUAAAUUGGCAUGCAUAUUGCAUUCAAUCAGACAGACAGACAUAUUUCUUUUAAGAGAUGAUUGAUUGUAGAUAGAACUACUCUUAGAUAGUUACAAGAUGGACAUGAAAAGACUUCUUGGAAAGUGGACAACAUGCCAAAAGAAAAGUGAAAAAUGAAUUCAUUAUGAUCUUGUCAAAUCAAGAAGAUAAUCAGAUAUCAACUGAAGCUGAAGUGCCAAACAUAUGAAUCAAAGCCCAAGGCUGGAAUAUGAAAAUCACAAGAAACGAGGAAGCAGCAAGCACACUAUAUAAUUGCAAAUACUUCAUAAGAAUUACUGCAAUUUCUAGAACUUCAGGCUCGAUUACAGAAGAAUGUACAAAGCAACAUCAAGUUGGCCCAAAACUUUAACCAAUAUAACCUGGCAAGCACUUGAUGAAGUGUUCAGGGAAAGAGAAAGUGGAGUUCAGAAAAUAAACCAGUUAAACAUUGCUGUUUUGAAAAACACAGAAAUACAUGUAGAUAAUCUAACUAAUGGCAGAAUAUAUUAAGGUCACCUUCUUCAUUGGUAACUCGUAAUUAAUCAGAAUACGAGCUGAAAUUGGUGACUCCCCACAAGCAAGAAGUGGAAGGCAUGUAUCCGUUACGACUAUCAUGUGAGAUUUUUCCUCAUCUUUUCCAAUUUCACUACCAUCUGCUGACUGAGGAGCGAGAUUCUGGUUCCAUCUCAACAUUGCUUGUCUAAAUUUGUCCAAAACUAAGGUACGUUCUGAUUCAGCUAGAUCACUGUACUGAGCAAAAUAUUUGGAAGUUGUAUUAUCAAACAUUUAUGUACGAGCAAAUAAUAUAAAACCCCUAGAUUCAAUAUUUCAAAACAUUAAUUCCACAAGAUAUCCAAAAUAAUUACCUCAAGAACAAUGACCGAAAACAUACUUCAAAUACUAUAGUGUUCAAAUUCAAGGUGCUAAAAUAUAUGAAUACUAACCUACCAACACAGGUUUUAUUCAAGAAAGCAAAUUAUUCAACGCUGGAUUAGCACUCUAAUUGGAUGGAAGAACGGGUCCACCUAAAAAGUCUUUCAAAAAAAAAAAAAAAAAAAAAAAAAAAAAACCUGCCAGUAGAGGCCCAGCCACAUACAUAAACCAAACGCAUAAUCAUACUGUUUUAUCAAAAAAUCCAAACAUAAGACCUGAGAGUUGCUAAUUCAUACGCAAUAUAGGCAAAAGGUGACUAAUAGGAAGAAGCAAGACACAGAAGAAACAACCCAGAUUCAUUGCUAGAACAGUUGUUUAACUAAGAAAUCAGUGAAUUCUUGCACUUACAGAAAAGGUUAUCCAUCUUGCACUUACAGAAAAGGUUAUCCAUCUUAAACGGAUCUCUCAAACUUCCAACAAUAUGAGUAUACAAUCAGCAAAUCAAUUGGGCACAUUAUAAAGGAGAAAAGAAAAAAACGACACUCGAAGCACUUAAUUCAUGAAACCAAACAAUUGACGCAACUAUCGAAUAAUGAUUCAGGUAAUAUAUUAACACUGAACUCUAAAAUCAAAUAAACCCUAAAGCAGAGGUGGAUAUACGGAAAAAAUAAUUUUACCAGAGAAGCGAGAGAAAUGUAAGGGAGGCUAGAGACGGCUGAGCAGACAGCGUCGAGCUCGUCCCGAGAGCUGCAGCAUAACACCAUCGGCAGCCCAGAGCGGCGUCCCGCUACGCCCAACAAGUCCACCAAUGUCUCCUGCAAAUUUAAGAGCAGUCAACGGAAGGUCUUUUGAGAUUAAACAAAUUAUAUAUAAAAAUAGUAAAAAAAGAACGGGAGAAACUUGUUUGAACCAUCCGAAUUGAAAAAUUGGAGAGGGAAAGAUAUAGAAUGAACCAUUUUGAACUGCAGUCUGUCAACGGCGACAUAGAAGUGGCGUUGUUGACUGCAACCGGAAAAAAUACUAAUGACAUUUUUUAUUGAAGAGAAGAGAAAGUACAAAUGAAGAAAUUUAAAUAAUUAAAAGAAAAAAGAAAAGGGAGGCGCCUGAAAUGGGAAGGGGAUUGUGGCAGAGGAGAAGCGGCUUCAAUUGCGUCCAUUCGUACCAGCUCUCUCGAGCAUGAACUAAGCCCGAUAAUAACCGCACCAAGCUGCCAUGUGAUUUUGAGGUUCAUUUAUUUUAUUUGAGCGGCGUCGUUUCAGCUGAACUUGAUUCGUUUAAGAUUUUAUUAGAAGAAAAAACAUCUAAAAAAUAUCACAUCUUGGAAAAAUGGACAGUUGAAGUUACUCCUCUGUCUCAUAGUUUUUGACCUACUUUGCUUUUUCACGUGUUCUAAAUUAUUGUACUGUUUUUUUUUUUUUUUUUAACUUUCAUCUUAAAUAUUCAAUUCGUAUGAAUUUAUUGUCUAGUUCUCGAUUAAACUAGUUAUGAUUCUCAAAAACUGUUUUUGAUAAUAUUUAUGAUUGAGGAUAAUCAAUUGCUAACCUUAAUUUUUCUUUCUUUCUUUCAUUUUGUUUUUUUUUUUAAGAACAAUUACCUCAACGAGCGAAGGUAUUUUAAGAAAUAAUAAAUCAAAUUCAUUUGAUUAUAUUACAUUAUGGUCAUGUAAUAAAAUGUGCUGUAAUAAGAUUAAAUGCAUUAAAAAUUAAAGGAUAAAUUGUUUUGAAUUAAUUUUUCGAUAAUUAAGUAAUAUGAACGGUGCGUUCUUUUAUUAUGAAUGAUUUGAAUUAAGAUUAAGGCAUACCACUUUUAUAUGAUUUAGUUUAUAUCAAAAUCACUUCUCUUUUAACCUUGAAAAGUUGAAAUGUAGCAUUUUGUCAAAUUUAAAAACAAGCAUAAAAAAAUGCGGAACAAUUAACUUGUAUAAUAAGCACAUAUGGCAAAAUAUGUUGUCAGAAAAUAAACUAAAAUUAGUUUUCAUUAUGUAUUGGCAUUUUUUUUUUGUUUUGUAAAAAAUAAGCAUAAAUAUAAUUAUUAAGUCAAGCAUAUAAGAAUUUAAUAAUAUUUUAUCAUUACAAUCAAUUUUAAUUUUUCUUCAGUCAUAUGUUUUCAAAAUAACAAUUAAUUUUGCUAUAUAUAUAUUGAUAUUAAAUUGUAAUUUUGUUUCUUCGCAUUAAGGUUGGGUAACAAAUAAACAGGACGAGAACUGGGAGUAAACAGUAGUUGUGCUUGUGGUCCUAGUCCAACGCCCACGUAAACUUAAGAAAAGAGCCCGGACAGGUACGAUAAAACGAACCAAGGACCAGGGAAGGGUAUAAGUGAAAAUUUUCUCAUUUUAAGUCGGCGAAUACAUAAAAAGACAAGGAAUAAGUAGGAGACAAUUACAAAUAGCAUAAAGUAGAGGGGAGCAAAACAAGAAAAAGAAAAAACCAUCCCUUAUUUUGCUCUCGUGCUCUAGCUCCCCUCUCUCGUUUGCUCUCUCUCUCUCUCUCUCUCUGUGGUUUCAGUAGGGCUUCUCUGUGACGUUCAUCUCGUACUCCUUUCUCCGCGGCGCACGUUAUCAUCGCCGUCUCUAUCCUACGCCCCCAGAGGUAAGCUACACAUCAUAUGCCUCCUUUCUUCCAGUUCAUUUUGAUCUCUCCACACCGGAGAACUAAAACUGAAGAAACAACAGAAAGACAUUUUUUUAAUGAAAGCUAAAUUAUAUACAAUAGUUUAAAUUAUUAUUUUAGAUUAUUCAUAUUUGUUUGAUUUUAUUUUUGGCUUGAUCAGGGUUAGAGGGAGUUUCCGCUAUCUAGGGUUUGAUCGCCUGAUCUUCGUUUACGGUUAGAUCUGUUACUAUAGAGAGAGGAAUAGUUUUUUGUUGGAGAAAAAAAAAAAUCUUAGGGUCAGGGGUUGUUCUAUUUAUUUGAUGCGUUGGCGGGGAUCCGAGGCCUGCAAACGGGUUGAUAUUCUGGGUGGGACCCUGAGAUGGCCAAUCCCGGAGUCGGGAACAAGUUUGUAUCUGUGAAUCUCAAUAAAUCCUAUGGCCAGCAUCAGUAUCACCAGCAUCAUCAUAAUAAUCAGCAUCAUUCAAGCUCCUAUGGUUCAAACCGCACCCGCCCUGGGGGAGGUGGUGGAGGGAUGGUGGUGCUUUCGCGGCCCCGUAGCUCACAGAAGGCUGCUGGGCCGAAGCUUUCUGUUCCACCCCCCUUGAAUUUGCCAUCACUGCGGAAAGAGCAUGAGAAGUUUGAUUCAUUGGGAUCAGGUGGAGGGCCUGCUGGAGGAGGUAUGGGAAGUGGGCCUCGCCCUAGUUCUUCAGGUAUGGGUUGGACCAAGCCUGGCACAAUUGCCAUACAGGAGAAAGAAGGUUUUGGUGUUAAUGGUGACCAUACACUUGAUGAUAGUAAUAGCAAUAAUAUUCACGGUGUUGAUCAGGGAUUGCCUGGUGUUGUCAAUGGGGUCAGCAGCGGUAGUAAUGUAUAUACACCCCCUUCGGCUCGGUCAGUGGUGUCUGCAGUUUCUGUUCCUUCUCGGGGUUAUUCGGUUGCAGAGAAAGCUAUGGUUUUGAGGGGCGAAGAUUUCCCUUCAUUGCAGGCCGCUUUGCCAACUUCUGGGCCUGAAAAGAAGCAGAAGGAUGGUAUGAAUCAGAAACAGAAGCAAGUAUUGGGUGAUGAGCUGGCUAAUGAGCAGAGAAAUGGUUCCCAGUUCAGCACACUUGUUGAUAUGCGUCCACAAUCACAGUUGAGGAAUAAUAUUGGCAAUGGAUUACAACACUAUGGUGGUGAAACCCGUGGUUUUGGUGGUUCUGUAAUGCCUGAGAAAGAUCGAAAGCAGGACGACCUUUUUCCAGGACCAUUGCCGUUAGUUCGAUUGAAUCCCAGGUCAGAUUGGGCAGAUGAUGAGCGUGACACGGGGCAUGGUUUGACAAAUAGGGGGAGGGAUCAUGGGUUUUCCAAGAGUGAAGCUUACUGGGAUAUGGAUUUUGAUUUCCCAAGGCCCAGUAUAUUGCCACAGAAACCCGCACAUAAUUUCUUUGAUAGGAGGGGACAGCGUGACAAUGAAACUGGAAAGAUUUCUUCCAGUGAAGUCACCAAAGUGGAUACUUAUGGGAAAGAUGCAAGAGUGUCUAGUAGGGAGGGACGGGAAGGAAACUCAUGGAGAGCUUCUUCUCCUCUUUCAAGAGAUGGAUUUGGUGUCCAAGAGGCUGGGAAUGAAAAAAAUGGUAUUGGCGCAAGACCAUCUAGUCUGAACAGGGAAGCAACAAAGGAGAAUAAGUACAUUCCAUCACCUUUCCGAGACAAUGCUCAGGAUGAUGCUGGAAGGAGGGAAUUGGGGUAUGGACAGGGAGGAAGGCAACCUUGGAACAACAAGAUGGAUUCUUUUGGCAGUAGAGGGUCUGAAUGGAGUGGUCGAGAGCGUUAUGGAAGUGAACAUAACAACAGGUUCAGAGUUGACACAAACCAGCAUAAUGCAGCUUCCAAGUCAUCAUUUUCUUUGGGUGGUAAAGGGCUUCCAAUUAAUGAUCCCAUACUGAAUUUUGGUAGGGAGAAACGCCCAUUCUCAAAGAGUGAAAAGCCCUAUUUAGAGGACCCUUUCAUUAAGGACUUUGGGGCUACUGGUUUUGAUGGGCGGGAUCCCUUUACUGGAGGACUUGUUGGGCUGGUUAAGAAGAAGAAAGAUGUGCUUAAACAGAUAGAUUUCCACGACCCUGUUCGGGAAUCUUUUGAAGCUGAACUUGAGAGAGUUCAGAAGAUGCAGGAACAAGAGAGACAACGGAUAAUUGAAGAGCAUGAAAGAGCUAUGGAGCUGGCUCGGAGAGAAGAAGAGGAGAGAAUGCGGCUGGCUAGGGAACAAGAAGAGCAACAGAGAAGGUUGGAAGAAGAGAGACUGGAAGCUAUGCAUAGAGCUGAACAGGAGAGACUGGAAUCCAUGCGGAGAGCUGAAGAACAAAGGAUAGCUAGAGAGGAUGAGAAACGCAGAAUUCUUUUGGAGGAGGAGAGGAGGAAGCAGGCUGCUAAGCAGAAGCUUUUGGAAUUGGAGGAGCGAAUUGCAAAGCGGCAUGCUGAAGCAGCAAACUGUGGUAAUACUAAUUCUUCUGGUGAUAAAGAUGAGAAAAUGUCUGGGUUAGUACCAGAAAAGGAUGUUUCCAAGUUGACAGAUGUGGGUGAUUGGGAAGAUAGUGAAAGGAUGGUAGAGAGAAUCACAACUUCAGCAUCUUCUGAUUCCUCAGGAAUGAAUAGACCAUUUGAGAUGGGUUCUAGAUCUCACUUCACUAGGGAAGGCUCUUCUGCGUUUCUGGACAGAGGUAAAGCUGUUAAUUCAUGGAAAAGGGAUAUAUUUGACAAUGGCAACAACUCGACAUAUCUUCAACAGGACCAGGAGAAUGGUCAUCGUAGUCCCAGGCGGGAUAUAUCUAUUGGAGGAAGAACUUUUCCUAGAAAGGAGUUAUAUGGGGGGCCUGGACUUGGUCUCCCGAGGACUUAUCAUAAAGGAGGGGUUACUGACACUCAUAUGGAUGAUUUUAGUCAAAUUAAGGGUCAGAGGUGGAGCAUUUCAGGAGAUGGAGAUCAUUAUGGUAGAAAUACAGAUAUUGAAUCUGAAUUUCAUGAUAACCUUACUGACAGGUUUGGUGAUGCUGGAUGGGGACAUGGUCAUUCUCGUGGCAGUCCUUAUCCUCCAUACCCUGAAAGAAUGUAUCAAAAUCCAGGGGCAGAUGGGCUUUAUUCCUUUGGGAGGUCAAGAUACUCCAUGAGGCAGCCUCGUGUUCUACCCCCUCCAUCUAUGAAUUCGAUGCUCAGAAAUCCCUACAGAGUUGAGAAUGACCAUCCUGGUGCCUCAAAAUUUCCAGAAAAUGAGAUGCAGUAUAAUCAUGUCAUGAGAAAUGAAUCUUCUGUGCAGACAAUGUAUGAUAGCAGCCACCAGGAGAACAUUGGACAUGCUGAAGGAAUUGAUACCCAGCAAGAGCAUGCUGAGAAUGAAGCACACAAAAUGGAUAGGAAUACAGCAAGAUGUGAUUCACAGUCCUCGCUCUCUGUUUCAAGCCCUCCUGAUUCUCCGGUCCAUCUCUCUCACGAUGACUUGGAUGAAUCUGGAGAUUCUCCAGCUUUAUCAGGUGGUGAAGGCAAAGACAUUACCUUGUUGGAGCAAGGGAAUGAAUCUGCAACCUUACCUACUGAAGCUGAGCAAGAGAAUUUGAUGAGUGGGUCAAGUGUUAUCUCUACUGGUGAUGAUGAAGAAUGGACUAUUGAGAAUGAUCAACAGUUGCAGGAGCAAGAAGAAUAUGAUGAGGAUGAAGAUGGAUAUGAUGAAGAAGAUGAAGUGCAUGAUGGAGAAGAUGAGAAUGGUAACCUGGUAGAAGAGAAAGGUUCACCUGACAUGAUAGAUAACUUGGUCCUUGGCUUCAAUGAGGGGGUUGAGGUUGGGAUGCCAAAUGAUGAGUUUGAAAGAAGCUCAAGGAAUGAAGAAACCAAAUUUGUGAUUCAACAAAUUUCUGCAGAAGAACAAGGCUCUUUUGAGGGGAUGGGCAGUGAUGGACAAAUUCAUCAACCUGUGGAGGGUUCUACUGUUGAUAAUUCUUCCAGAAUCUUCCAGGAAACUGAGAAGGCAAUGCAAGAUUUGGUAAUUCAACCUAAAAAUUCUCCUCACACAUCUUCUGAACUUGUGGAUUGUGUGGAUGUGUCUAGUAGUUCUGGCCUCUCCACUCAGCCCCAAGUCCCAUCUUCAUUAGGACAGACUGUCAGGUCCAGUGAUCCUUCUAUUCUCGGUCAGCCUGAGGUACCUGUUAAGCUUCAGUUUGGGCUGUUCUCUGGUCCUACUCUGAUACCAUCACCAGUUCCAGCCAUACAGAUUGGUUCCAUACAGAUGCCACUUCAUCUUCAUGCACCAGUUGGCCCAUCCCUCACUCACAUGCACCCAUCACAACCUCCUCUCUUCCAAUUUGGUCAGCUAAGUUAUACUUCUCCUAUUUCACAGGGGGUAUUGCCGUUGGCUCCACAAUCAGUGUCCUUUGUUCAGCCUCAUGUUCCAACUAAUUUUCCUUUGAAUCAGAAUGUGGGUGGUUCUGUGUCUAUUCAACCUGGUCAAGAAACCACUGUUCAGAAUCUGAUGAAAAGUGAUUUAUUGUCUCUUUCAAUGGACAGCCAACCAGGCCUUCUUCCCAGAAACUUAGAUGUAUCUCAUGGUCUAGCUUCAAAAGAGGGAAGUUUGCCACCAAGAGAAAGAGCUGAUAAAACUGUAAAACUGCAGCAGAACCGAGGAGAUCUUUCUCACAGUAAUGAGAGCAAAACUAGGCCUGAAUCAGGUUUCCCAGCAGAAGGUUCAUUUGUGAAAAAUUUCAAAGCCUCACCCUCUAAAGAAUUGGAAGGCCAGCCUCAAGCUGGGGCAAUAUCAUCUCAGUCAGUUUCUAAAGAAAAAGAUAUAGGCAUCUCAAAAGGUCGGGGCCUAACAUCAGGAGGGAGAGGGAAAAGAUAUAUCUUUGCAGUAAAAAAUUCUGGAUCAAAACCAACAUUUCAGGCUUCUGAAAGUUCUCGCCUAGAUUCUAGUGGAUUUCAGAGACCCAGACGCCAACGAACUGAAUUUCGGGUUCGGGAAAAUGCUGAUAAGAGGCAAUCUACUGGGCUUAUUUCAUCUAGUCCAUAUGGGACGGAUGAUAAGUCUAAUAACAUUGGUAGGGGUGCUCGAGCAACAAGUGCUUCGAGGAGGGUGGUUUUGUCCAGUAGACAACCAAAACAGACAUUUGAAUCAGAAAUGUUGAACUCAAGGCCAGUUGGUUCACGGGAGGUAGAUUCAGGAGGUAAGGCUGAAAAGGGAGCUGGAAAUGAAUCUUUGAGAAAGAAUCAGAGCAUUUCACGCUCCGGAGAGGAUGUUGAUGCUCCUUUGCAAAGUGGAAUUGUCCGUGUUUUUGAGCAGCCUGGCAUUGAAGCUCCUAGUGAUGAUGAUGAUUUUAUUGAGGUCAGAUCAAAGAGGCAAAUGCUGAAUGAUCGACGUGAACAGAGAGAGAAAGAAAUCAAAGCAAAGUCUCAAGUUUCAAAGGUUCUAUUACACUUGCUCUUUGAAUUAGCUGUCCCUUUUGUUUGUAGUAAAUAAUACUAGUCUUAAUUACUUCAUGUUGAUGCUAGAUGCCACGAAAACUUCGUUCUACCUCACAAAGUACUGUUGCAUCGGGUACCUCAAAUAAAAUUUCUGUAUCAGUUGGUGCAGAAGCAUUAAACAGUGCCCGCUCUGAUUUUGUUGGCAAUGAUGGACAUGGCUUAGCAAAUGUUGAAGUGUCUGCAGGAUUUAAUGCACCUAUAGUUUCCCAACCACUCCCUCCAAUUGGGACUCCUGCCGUGAAAAAUGAUGCCCAAAUCAAGUAAAAACAUUUCUCAAACAAGUCUAGAAAUCCAAAUUGUAUGCACAUAUGUGUUAAUCUUAUAUUUUUAUCUUGCAGGUCCUUCCAAACAGGCUCCUUAACAGUUGUAUCUGGUGGAGGAAAGAACCUUGCUACUGGCUUAAUGUUUGAGACCAAGAAUAAGGUUCUGGAUAAUGCCCAAGCAUCUUUGGGCUCUUGGGGUAAUUCACGUAUUAAUCAACAGGUAUGCAGAUGUUCUUGCUAAAUGCUAUAACUGGUAUAUUUGAUGUUCGUCUUGUGCUUUGUUCUUUCCAUUUUAUUUCGUGUCAAUAUGAAGCUGAUUAGAUUUUGCAGCAAAGGAAGAAAGCGUGAUUGGAGUUUUGGUGAUUUCUUGUUGUUAUGCCUCUCCUUCCCCCUCCUUUGCUGUUGCUAUUGUUGGUGUCUGUUUGUUGAAGUGUGUUACAGUUUCAUCCAUGAUGUGUUCUUUGGGAAUUGUGAUGGUCUAAUCCUUGUUGCUGCUUGACUUUUCCGUAUUCUAAUUUUGCUGCAGAAUCUUCAUUUGCUAUUUGAUGUUUGCUUAAAUGAGAAUUGAUUUUUCAUCUAUUUGUAAUCUUGCUCAGGGUUAGGGAUGUAAGCACGACUAUUUGUGCAUACAUGUGCAAGUCUUCAUACUCAUUUCUCACAUUCUGUUGGCUCAACUUUGAUGAGGGGAACUGAGUAUGAAGUAGUAAAAGGGAAAAAGAGAAGGGAAGGGGAUGGGCUGUUUUCAUGUAGAGAGGAAAUGCAAAUUUUAGUUAGGAGGUGUUAUCUUUUUAAGAUGUUGUAUUUUGAGGUUUUCCUUCAAAAUCUUGAGGGGUAAUUACUAUGUGGUCCGUAGGGUUUGGUCAAAUAUACUAGUAAGGAUCUUGGUUUCUAAAUUGCAUUAUCUAGUCCUUGCAUUAUGUACCUGUUACACUAUAACGUACUUCCAUUAAAAAUUUUAUAAUUUUCUGCUAGUCAAUCUUAUUUUAGUAAAACAUUAAGUAAGUCGAAUAAAAAUAUUUGAAGUUACAAAAACAUCCUUCCACUAUAGAACUUUAAGCUUUGGGUUUCUCCAAAUUCAUAUUUUACUCUGUUUUUUAAUUAUUUUAUUAUUUUCCCUUACUCAACACUAUUCAUCUUCCUCUUAUUAUUGGCGACAUUUUUGGCAUUUCACAGUCACUUGAUGAAAAAACUAACAGUUGGACCAAUUAAUAUAACAAAUUGACAAUUGAAUAACUUGAUGGUGUAAUUUUGAAAAUUGAGGUCCUUAUUAGUGUAUUUGAUCAAACGUAGGGACUAAAUAGUAAUAACCCCAAAUCUUGACUGCAUCAAAAUGAAAGUUUUGGUAAUACUUUGGAGAAUUUUUGCCCUCCCUGUUCAUUUUCCAUUUCUCCUUUUCCUUAUCAACUCUAGACUGAAAUAGGUAAAGUGAGGUAAGUCAACAUUUUCCCUCACCCUCCAGCCCCCAGACCCCUUCUCACAUUUCUAUGCACAUCUAGUGAGUUGCUUUAAAUAUAUGCUUUCUGUUUACUAGGCUUCAUGGUGUCAAAUGUGCAUAGCUUUUGUUGAUUUCUAAGAAGUUGUUUCUGUGGUUUGAAGUUAUGAAUAAUGGGGCAAUCUUCUGGCAUUAAGCUUCUUAUUAUUGGUUUAGUAACAUUUGUUAGCUAAUCCUAAACCCUAAACUGUAACCCUUUUUCUUCAAACUUUUAGUAGGCUGAUUUCGAGAUAUUGGCUGCCUCUAUCUGCUAUUUUACAUCCUCUUCCGAAUAAGCUGUAGAAAUGAUAGAAGGAUUCAGUAGAUCAAGCAAUCUGAUCAAUUUUUUGUUUUGUUAAAUUGUUUUGAGAUUUUGUUUGGUAAGUUAUUAGUUGCAUGAUGCAGUUUCAGGCUCAUUGAUCUAGUUGUAUCCCAAAUAAUGUUCUGUCCCUUUUAUAUUGUUGUCUCAUAUGUUCAAUAGAUCUUUGGACAAUGAUAAACUGAUUCACUUUAUCUGGUAGGUUAUGGCCUUGACUCAAACUCAACUUGACGAGGCUAUGAAGCCUGCACAGUUUGAUUCACAUUCUUCUGUUGGAGAUCCUUCUAAAUCAGUUAGCGAGUCAAGCUUGCCAGCAUCUUCCAUCUUGACUAAGGACAAGUCAUUUUCCUCCACUGCGAGCCCGAUCAAUUCAUUGCUUGCAGGAGAGAAAAUUCAAUUCGGUGGGAACAUAUCUCCUGCAAAAUCAUUUGUAUUCUUAAGAUUGUUAGUUACAUUAUCUGAAGUAUUUCGUUCCUGUUAUCUUCAGGUGCUGUUACAUCUCCUACAAUACUUCCUUCUAGCAGCCGUGCUGUUUCCCAUGGGAUUGGCCCUCCGGGUCCAUGUCGGUCUGACAUUCAAAUUUCUCACAAUCUUUCUGCAGCUGAAAGUGAUUGCUCUCUUUUCUUUGAAAAAGAAAAACACUCUGAUGAAUCGUGUGCUCAUUUAGUCGAUUGUGAAGCUGAAGCUGAAGCAGCUGCUUCAGCUAUUGCUGUUGCUGCCAUAAGCAGUGAUGAGAUUGUUGCAAAUGGGCUGGGUACAGGUCCUGUCUCUGCUGCAGAUUCCAAAAACUUUGGUGUAACAGAUAUUGAUGGUAUUACAGCAGGUGGCUAUUUUUCUCUGCAACUUUUGUAGGGUUACACUUCUGAAUCCUAUAAGGAUUUUUAAGAUGAUGUUAUUCUUAACCAUAUUCUAUCUUUGGCAGGUGUAUCUGGUGAUCAACAAUCAUCCAGUCAAUCAAGAGCUGAAGAGUCCCUAAGUGUUGCUCUUCCUGCUGAUCUUUCUGUUGAGACACCACCGAUAUCUUUGUGGCCAGCGUUACCAAGUCCGCAGAAUUCUUCUAGCCAGAUGCUUUCUCAUGUUCCUGGAGGUCCGACUUCCCAUUUCCCUUUCUAUGAGAUGAAUCCAAUGUUGGGAGGACCCAUCUUUGCUUUUGGGCCACAUGACGAGUCAGCAUCUAACCAAACACAGGCCCAGAAGAGCAAUACAUCAGUUUCAGGUCCACUUGGAACCUGGCAACAUCAUUCUGGUGUAGAUUCAUUCUAUGGUCCUCCAGCAGGUUUCACUGGCCCUUUUAUCAGUCCUCCUGGAAGCAUCCCUGGAGUUCAAGGUCCACCACACAUGGUUGUGUAUAAUCAUUUUGCGCCAGUUGGACAGUUUGGACAAGUUGGUUUGAGUUUUAUGGGUACCACCUACAUCCCAUCUGGGAAGCAACCUGAUUGGAAGCAUAACCCUGCAUCUUCUCCCAUGGGUGUCAGUGAAGGGGACAUGAAUGGUUUGAACAUGGUUUCUGCACAACGCAAUCCCACUAACAUGCCUACUCCUAUCCAACACCUUGCUCCUGGGUCACCUCUCUUGCCUAUGGCAUCUCCUUUGGCCAUGUUUGAUGUUUCUCCUUUCCAGGUAAAAAUUAUAGAUUUGUCGUCUGAAAAAUUAUUCUAGCUGCCAAAAUGGUAAUUACUUUUUCUUAGAAAGGGAAAUGGUUGUGUGCUUGAUCAUUGAGAUGUGGAAGAUGCUGAUGUAGUAGGAAUAUGCAUAUUCCGCAGUGAGCGCAUGUGCAAAAUUCCUGUUGAAUGAAGCCAUUUUAUGUGCUUUCUGAUCCCCCUUGUUUUUUGCUCUUUUGAAAUAGAAAUUAGUUUUCUUUGCUUGGUGGGUUAUUAAAAUUGUUUUAGAGGUUUGGUUUGAGGGUUUGUUGAAUGAAAUUCUUCAGAGGCUGGCAAUAUUAAUUUUUUUAUAAGAUGUGACAUUGAUGUUUAUGGAAUAGCCUAUACUGACCCUAGUGGUUUGAUUAAAAUUGUUGUGUCCAGUCCUCUGCUGACAUGUCGGUCCAAGCUCGAUGGUCGCAUGUCCCUGCAUCACCUCUUCAAUCGGUUCCUGCGUCAAUGCCAUUGCAGCAGAAGGCAGAAGGUGCACUGUCUUCUCAGUUUAAUCAUGGCCCAGCUGUUGAUCAAUCAUUAGGUAACAGAUUCCAGGAGCCCCGAACGAGCACAACCUCUGACAAUCAGAACUUCCCAACAGCUACUGAUGCAACCGUCACCCAGUUGCCUGAUGAACUUGGGUUGGUGGACUCAUCGAGUUCCACGAGUGCUGGUGCUCCAACACAGAGCAUUGUCAUUAAGUGCCCUUCUGCUAGUGCUAUCUCAGGCACUGGCAAGACAGAUGCGCUGCUGAAUGGCAGUGGGACCAGCAGCAGCAGCGACCAGAGUACAAAUUCUGCUUUCAAGACACAAUCUUCCCAUCAGAAGAGUAUGUCUACCCAGCAUUACAAUAAUUCAUCCGGGUAUAAUUAUCAAAGGGGUGGUGGAGUUUCUCAGAAGAAUAAUUCUGGGAUUGAGUGGCCUCACCGUAGGAUGGGAUACCAAGGAAGGAACCAAUCCUUAGGUGCUGAAAAGAGCUUUCCUUCUUCAAAGAUGAAGCAGAUUUAUGUAGCUAAACAGACUUCAAAUGGGGCAUCGACGACGUCGUGAAGAGAAAAGGAAAUGAGCAUCUUAGAUUUAAAGGUUGAAAGCAUUAGGACUGAAGCAUCUUUCCGGUGAAAAUUUUGUUUUUGGUUUUUAUAAAUUUUUGGCAAGGGGAGAUUUGAAAUUUUAGUGGUCUAUAAGAAUUGAUAUGCCAGUCUUUUGAAGGAGCUUUUCUGGAGCUGGCUGAGCACACGUCUGUUUUGGAUCUUGAUUUACAGAGUCUUGGUGCUACUAUCUCAAGUUCCUGUGUGUUAGUUAGGGUGUUUAUCCACAUCAUUUUUUUAGUGCCUUCUUUGUUGCCUGCACAAACCUAAUUGUAAUUCCUUGGGAUUCAUAUAUUAAUGUUUAGUAAAAAUCCAGCUGAUGUGUUUUUCACACUACUGUUUGUAAUGAUAAAUAUAUAUAUAUAUAUAUAUAUGACAAGAAGACAUUUCUGCCCUUGCAUUACCAUGUAAAGUGUCUGAUAAAGUAACGGCCCGCAUUCCAAAAAGUAAGAGCCGGAAGAGACGAUGGCCCCCGGAAUUUGGAUUAGGCCUUUGUUUUCUAAUUGCAUCUAUUUUUCACUCACUUUCUUUAUAUUGAUAUACAAAUAAAUGUGAAGUUAUUGAACAAUUUAUACCUAUAAUUUACUAGAUUGAUCUGAUUUGUUAACAUCAAACCACUUUUUUAAAAAUAAAAAUACUAGAUUGAUCUAUUUUAUUAACAUCAAACAAUUAUUCAAAAAUAAAAAUUUAUUCCAUCAUAAGUAAUUGUUUUUCCAUACAAUCUUUUAAUAAAUUAAUUAUGUUUUUUGAAUCCUAAAUUUUAUCUACCUUAAAAUUUGCUAAUUUUUUUUUAUUUAUAUAAGUGAAGUCCAAUAUGAGUUUAUAUCAUUAUACUUUGUGGGUGUACAAUUAUAAAUUUUUAAAUAAUACAGUUAUAAUUUAUCCAAUUUGUUUUGAUUAUCAUGUAUUCUAAAAAUACAAAAUUAUUAAUGGCUAUUUUUUUUCUUUUAUUAUAUUGCAACAUAUAAUAGUAACUACAAUAAGAAAAAAUAUAUUUUAGUCUUAUUGCCAUUUUAAAUUUUUUUUUUACAAGAAAUUUGCUUAUAAGAAAAGUAAAAAUUCAUAAGAAAUUUGUGAAAUGUAACAUAUAAGUUAUUAAAAAUUAUACCACUUGGUAGAGUUUAAGAAAUUUAGAUGUGUAAAAUAUUUACACAACCAUGCCUGUUAAGUUAUAAGUCUUUUUACACCAAAAAUAUAUAUUUAUAUAUAUAUACAAUAUUUAGAAUUAUCACAUAGUAUUCACCACCCAACCUAUUUAAAAUUUGUUAAUACUUUAUUCAUUUUUUUCAAGAUAUGUUAAAAAAUAUUUUCAUUUUAAUAAAAAAAUUAUUUUUCAUUUAUUUCGCCCAUAAACAGCCUAUAGGCAAAUCAAUCCUUUGUCAAGUCAAAGUCAAACACACGACUGCCCGUCGUAUACAAAAAGUUAAACUUUGGUUUUCUUUUCGAAACUUCCUUCAUCCAAAGUCGACAAAUGGCCCUUUUAUUAGAUUUUUUUUUCCGUUUUUGUCUUCUUCUUAAAGUCAAAUGCUACACUUUCCUCAUCCUGAUAGUAACGGAACAAAUUCUCUGUUACAUGCGCAUAUCAGAAAGUGGGGACACAGCGCGGGAAUGUUAUAUGCGGCGUAAGGAGACCAAUUAAUAUUUUCCAAUAUGAACAUUUUCAACGAAGAUAUUUUUUUAAAAUAUGCAAUUACCCGCGUAAUAUUUUCCAUCCCUGCCCUUGCAUUACCAUGUAAAGUGUCUGAUAAAGUAACGGCCCGCAUUCCAAAAAGUAAGAGCCGGAAGAGACGAUGGCCCCCGGAAUUUGGAUUAGGCCUUUGUUUUCUAAUUGCAUCUAUUUUUCACUCACUUUCUUUAUAUUGAUAUACAAAUAAAUGUGAAGUUAUUGAACAAUUUAUACCUAUAAUUUACUAGAUUGAUCUGAUUUGUUAACAUCAAACCACUUUUUUAAAAAUAAAAAUACUAGAUUGAUCUAUUUUAUUAACAUCAAACAAUUAUUCAAAAAUAAAAAUUUAUUCCAUCAUAAGUAAUUGUUUUUCCAUACAAUCUUUUAAUAAAUUAAUUAUGUUUUUUGAAUCCUAAAUUUUAUCUACCUUAAAAUUUGCUAAUUUUUUUUUAUUUAUAUAAGUGAAGUCCAAUAUGAGUUUAUAUCAUUAUACUUUGUGGGUGUACAAUUAUAAAUUUUUAAAUAAUACAGUUAUAAUUUAUCCAAUUUGUUUUGAUUAUCAUGUAUUCUAAAAAUACAAAAUUAUUAAUGGCUAUUUUUUUUCUUUUAUUAUAUUGCAACAUAUAAUAGUAACUACAAUAAGAAAAAAUAUAUUUUAGUCUUAUUGCCAUUUUAAAUUUUUUUUUUACAAGAAAUUUGCUUAUAAGAAAAGUAAAAAUUCAUAAGAAAUUUGUGAAAUGUAACAUAUAAGUUAUUAAAAAUUAUACCACUUGGUAGAGUUUAAGAAAUUUAGAUGUGUAAAAUAUUUACACAACCAUGCCUGUUAAGUUAUAAGUCUUUUUACACCAAAAAUAUAUAUUUAUAUAUAUAUACAAUAUUUAGAAUUAUCACAUAGUAUUCACCACCCAACCUAUUUAAAAUUUGUUAAUACUUUAUUCAUUUUUUUCAAGAUAUGUUAAAAAAUAUUUUCAUUUUAAUAAAAAAAUUAUUUUUCAUUUAUUUCGCCCAUAAACAGCCUAUAGGCAAAUCAAUCCUUUGUCAAGUCAAAGUCAAACACACGACUGCCCGUCGUAUACAAAAAGUUAAACUUUGGUUUUCUUUUCGAAACUUCCUUCAUCCAAAGUCGACAAAUGGCCCUUUUAUUAGAUUUUUUUUUCCGUUUUUGUCUUCUUCUUAAAGUCAAAUGCUACACUUUCCUCAUCCUGAUAGUAACGGAACAAAUUCUCUGUUACAUGCGCAUAUCAGAAAGUGGGGACACAGCGCGGGAAUGUUAUAUGCGGCGUAAGGAGACCAAUUAAUAUUUUCCAAUAUGAACAUUUUCAACGAAGAUAUUUUUUUAAAAUAUGCAAUUACCCGCGUAAUAUUUUCCAUCCGUGGUCCCUGGUCAAAGGGGAAGUCGAUGACAAAAGUGGUCUCACAUCACAUUUGACAUUCCACUCAGUUCAGAAAAAGAAAAUGACAUUUAACAAAGAGAGACUUGACUUUUUGUUUCUUAGAUGCUUCCUCGUGGCGCAUGGUCUGUAUUCUGUAAUUUAAAAGGAAAAUGCUUACCACUGUAAUACAUUUAAAUGUUCUGCAACAGUUCUAUCUUACAUUUACGUAGAGUUUUAUCUUCCUCUGCAACUACUUUGGUACACGUUUUCUCCUGUAUUUUUCCUUUGUGUUUGCUUACUUGGGUGUCAUGUCAUCGGAUAAUAUUUCUGAAGACUUUACGUUCUAUCGUGCCUUUCGCUCUCUCACUUCUCUUGCCUUUCUGAAGAUUUGCGCUUAGUUAUUAUUCCUCCAUCAACCCCAUAUAUAGCAAGUCAACGCCAGGUCUUAGGUUUUCAAUUCGCAGCAGUCAAACUCGAGAAAGCACUUUCUUCUUUUUGGAAAAGUAGGAAAGAAAUACAUUAGCUUAGACAAAAUCCGGGGUAAAACCCCACAAAUAUCAUGAAGAAGAAAAGUGCUAAUGGCCCAUUCUCUAAACCGAUGACCUUCUAUUAUUGCAAAUGCGGAUAUUCAUUUCUAUUUUUCUAAUCAGCAAAUAAUAUUUUAAUUUAUUAAUAUAUAUAUAUAUAUAUAUACACACAUAUAGUCAUGAAAAAUUUAAUAUAACUCAUAACUAAACCCUGGCCAGUAGGCUCUCCAGAUACACCCCUAGCUACCUCAUUGAAAAUCCUGUAAAAAUACAUCACAAAAAGAUUAUCACAACAACAAGAUAAAAGCUAAUAAGUAUAAUCCAAAAGAUAAGCCCAAGCCAAAAUACAAGUUAAACCAGAAAACGAGGGAGGUUUUACUUGCAUUUCUAUUAAACAGAGGUCGCGACAGUUUUUCUUGCAUUUGGAAACGUGUUUAAUCUUCUAUCAUCAUCGAAUCUAUUGAAUCAUCUUCCUCUGCAACUACUUUACUACUGCUUUCUCCUGCAUUUUUAUAUUUUUCCAUCUUUUCGUUAUUUUUGCUUGUUUGUGCGUAAUCAGAUAAUGGGAAGUUUGUUUUGGCUUUGUUUCCACGAAACUUAAUUGCAGCAGUAUCAUAAGCUCGUGCAGCCUCCUCUGCCGUGCUGAAAGUACCGAGCCACACGCGAAUUGCCCGCCACGGGUCACGUAUCUCCGCCGCCCAUUUCCCCCAUGGCCUUUGUCUGACUCCCCUGUACUUGUUCUUCUUCUUAUUCAUUCUUUCCUUGUUACUAUCAUCUUUCUCUUCUUGGUUAGACCCGAAGAAAUUGCAGCCGAGACAGUCAACUGAAUCCAUGUUACAGACGGGGCAUUUGUCAGAACCUUGGAGAAUAUGAAUAAUGUUGGGCGGAGCUAUUGAUGACGUGUCACCAGAAAUCACCUGUUUUAAAGCGGCAACCAUGAUGGAGUCUUCUUCUUCGCUGGUUAAACGAUUUAUAUUUGUGGUGAUGUUCAUCUUUUUCGUCUUAACUUUCAAGAGGUUUCGCUACCAGUAACUGGAGAGAAGACGAGUGGGCGGGAAGCGUUUAAAUAUUAAUACUGGAAUGCCAGCUGACAAAUGGACAACUUUUACACGCAACUCUAUCUCCACAAGUGAGCAGAAACUGCAAUUAGUGGAGCCCAAGGUGGUCCCACUCUAUAAAGCUUAAAAUUAUUAUUUUUAGUAUUAUCAUUGGCUCCAUGGCUUACGUAGGGUCGUUUUGCUGAUAAUAUGAUUGCCGGUAGCUUGUAGCUUAGCUUCGGAUACAAUUUUAAUAGCGGUUAAAAUUUUCAAUAAUAAUUAAAGUAUAAUUAUUUUUUAUAUUAUAGUAUAUAAUAUAUAAUAUUUUUAAUUUUAAAGAUUGAAUAUGUUAUUUUUUAUUUUAGUAUGUUAUUUAAAUAAAAAAUACUAAUUAAAUUUUUUAAAAAUAAUAUUAUAUAAACUUUAUUAUUUUUAAUGAAUUAUAAAUAAAAUAUUAAUCUGAAAAAUUGUAAUUCUAUUAUAAUUAUUUUUAUAUGGUUAAUGAAAUUCAACAAUAAUAUAAAUAUAAAUUAGCUGCCAUUUUAUAAAAAAAUUUCAAAAUAUAGCUGAUAGAAUUAGUUGAAGAUUGAAAUCUUUAUCCAACACUUACAGUAUAGUUAAUGGGUACGAAUUAAAUAUCAACUGCAUGCAGGGGUGCAAAUUGGUUGGAAUCGUAGCCAUUCAAAUCAAAUUUCAAUUUGGAACGGGAUUUUGGAGGUUCACCGACCCUUAGAUAGCGGAGCCGUUGGCACGCAACGGCCCUCAUAAAGUCUCUGCACUGUACUGAAAACUCCCGUAACGGGUGUGGAUACUCGCUGUUACCUUCAUGGAAUCGUUUUCACAAACAAUAAUGAAAUUAAAGAACGGCUUGUCGGCAACUGAAUCCAUCUUGUCUAGCUAUUCUCCAUCUUACAUCAAACUGUACUUGCUAGCUAUUCCAUUCCCUGUUGCUUUUUGGAUCAACAUUCUUCCACAUUAGAGUCAUUGCAUGAUUUCAUCACGCGUUUUUUAUGCAGAUUCAAUGUUCAGAAAAGAAAACUGAACUGUAUCCUGGUACUUUUCUUAAUCUUCUUUCUUCUAUACUAGACCUUACUCUAUUCGCAUCUCUCCACCGUCCAGCUGAUGCGUACAUACUAGAAAGCAUAACGUAUGAUCCUGAAUUUUCUGGGUCCAUUUCAAAUAUCAUCCCGCUAAUUUUCUCCCCAAGUUCGACAUCGUCAUGGAUUUUACACGCACCCAAUAAUGAUUCGAGUAGGCUAAUUGAUGGCUUACAUUUUAGCUUCUUAACAAUGGCAAAAGCCUCUCUCAAGUGACCUGUUCUGCCAAGUAGGUCCACUAUGCAGGCAUAAUGCUCCAUUUCUGGUGAUAUCCCCUGCUCUAUCAUUGAAUUGAAGACUAUCCAACCUUGCUCGACUAAACCAGCAUGGCUGCAAGCUGAUAAAAUACUCGAAUAAGUAAUUUUGUCGGGUCUCAUGCCUGAAAAUUGCAUCUGCCAGAAAAGUUCAAGGGCAGCUUUGCCUUCCCCAUGCAUACCAUAUGCAUUAAUCAUCACACUCCAAGAUACAGCAUCCUUUUCAAGCAAGCUCUCAAACAUCUUUCUAGCAGCUGAAAUAUUUCCACAUCUUGCAUUUACGUCUAUAAGCGCAUUGCUGAUAGCCAUAUCUUUGUCAAAUCCUUUGCGUACAACAUAGGCCAUUACAGAAUCAGCAAGUUUUAGGCUAUUUAAUUGAGCAUAUGCCGAAAUUAAACUUAAAACUGUUACAUUGUCAGGUUGCAAGCCCAUUCGAAGGAGAUCACAGAAUAGUGCAACUGCUUUUUCGGCAUUCUUUGUUUGGAUAUGCACAGAAAGAAUAGCAUUCCACAAAGAUAUAUCUGUCUUUUUGCUCAUUUCAAAUAGAAAAUGACACGUAUUCACCUUUGCAAAUCUAGCAUACAUGAACACCAGAGAUGUAAGAAGAGGAGUUUCUUGUGAAAUUCCUGCUCUUAUUGCAAAAGCGUGAAUAGACUUACCCUGCAGUUGUCCACAGCAUAGAGGCAAUAGAUUUAGCAAAGUUACCGAAUUUGGCCUCCAACCCUCAUUUAUCAUUCGUUUAAAGCUAGUCAAAACCUCAUUCUGGAGGUUGUUAACUCGAUACCCUCCAAUAAGGGCAUUCCAAGACACUACAGACCUUCUGGGCAUAACUUCAAAUAGUAAUCUCCCUGUAUCUAGAUCUCCACAUUUACAAUACAUGGUAAUAAGUGCAUUGGCCAAGGAAAUGUCAGAGGAAAACCCAUUUUUUAUAGCAUAACCAUGAAGAGUCAUCCCUUGACCCAAAUUUUCACUGUCACGGUACAUGGGGAGAAUGCUUAUCAGGGUCACCAAAUCCAAUGCCAAUCCUUCUUUCUGCAGCAGAUGAAGAAGUUCAACUGCCUUGUCCACUUCUACACUGUGCACACAUCUAGAUAUCAAAGUGUUCCACGACACAGAAUCUCGGUUGUCCAUUUUGAAAAACAGAUUAAAGGAAGAGGCAAGAUCAUUACAAUCAGAGUAAAAUGUGAGGAGUGCAUUUGACACAAUAAGGCUUGAGUUGAUUCCCAUUCUGAUGCUAAAUGCGUGAGCAGACUUGCCUAGCAAAAUGGCCUCAAGUUUGGAGCAGGCAGAAAGGACACUAGUUAUUGACACUACAUCUGGAAUGAAUCCACAUAAUUGCAUUUCGCAAAAUGCUGCCAAACUUGCAUCCCACAGCCCAUUAUGCACAUAUCCAGAGACCAUCACAUUCCAUGAUAAGAGGUUUCUAUUAGGCAUCCUUUCAAAAAGGAAUUCAGCUUUACUGAUAUCACCAAGCUUGGCAUACAUGGACACCAAGGCUGCUAAUACAGAAAUAUGAUUUUCUGAUCCAUGUUUUAUAACACAAGCAUGAAAGGAUUCACCAAAUGAGAUACUACCAACAAACUCACAUGAAGAAAUAAUAGACACAAAAGUGACUGAAUCAGACUGCACACCAGCAUAGUGCAUUUCUUGAAAUAUAUUAAAUGCUUCAAAAGGCAACUGCUUUUGCAUGUAAGCUGCAAUCAUAGAAUUCCAAACAGCAACAUCCUUCUCCUGCAAAAGAUCAAACAAUGUUUUUGCAGCAGACAAAUGCACAUCACUAGCAUACAUUGAUAUUAAAGCAGGCACCAAAAAAUCAUUCACAAGAUAUCCGGACUUGAUAGCAAAGCCAUGGAAACAUCUUCCAAUAUCCAAACAUCCUAAACGGGUGCAUAUUGGAAUUACACUAGCCAGAGUACUCAAAUUAGGCUUCAAACCCGAUAAAACCAUAUGCUUGAAAACCGCAAGAGCUUCAUGAUCACACCCAUUAAAAGAAUAACCUGAAACCAAAGCAUUCCAAGAAACCAAGUCUGGUUGGGGAAUUCUAUCAAUCAGAACACGCGCAGUUCCCAUAUAACCAUUUUUCGCAUAAAAAUCAACCAGAGCAGUUUGGAUGACAACAUUUUGAUCAUACCCAGUUCGCAAAACAAUACAAUGAAGUAUUUUUCCAAUCUUUAAAGCAUUAAGAGCCGAACAAGCCUUGAUCACAGAAGGAAACGUAAAAUCAUCAGACGGAUAACUCAAACUCCGACACUUGAAAUAAACGGACAAGACAGUUUCGUGCAACCCGUAAUUGCAAAGACCCCUAAUCACCAAAUUUUGUAGAAACACGUUUGGUUUUCUUAUUGUAUUGAAGGAAGAGAGAGCUAUAUCUAAGGCACCCACAUGAAAACAAGCCUUUAAAAGUUCUUUAAGCAAACCCUUCUGCUCAAUUAGACCAUGGACUACAAGAAGAGACGUGAGAGACUUGAGGUGAUUGACGUUUUUACAAAAGGGAAAGAAAUUUGAGAAGUUAAUGGUUUUGGAUUUGAAAGAAUGAUACAUUGAAGGUUUGUGUUUGAAAGAUCGGAUAGUGGUGUAGAAACGACAAAUAACUGUCGAGAGAUUUAGGAAAGAGUUUCGAGAGAGGAAUAUCCAUGAAAGGUUCAAAGUUAUUACAUGGUUAGCAAUUGCUAGCUUAUAUGAGAAGCUCUGCCUUUCCCGCCAUUACUGCAGAUGUUCUUAUAUGAGUUUGCUGGAGAGGCUUUUUUUGGAAUGAAUUACAGAAACUUAGCGCGUGACAUUAGAGUAAAAUCCAACAGACACUCAGAGUGAGUUAAAACCGUUGCAAAUUGGCAAGGCGCGGUGGUCCACAUUUACUCUUUUGCCCUUAUUUUUUAAUCUUUUAAUGUUUAUUAAUUAUUAUGAUAUAUAAGAAAUAGAGAGUAUAUAUAAAAAUAGCAGAUAGAAUAAGAGAGAGGAAAGAGAAAUAAAUUUCUAGUAUUAGAAUAUUAGUUUCACAAUUUAAAUAAUGAAGCAACUAUUUAAAUGAUACAAAAUAUUAUCCAAAAGACAUAACUUUACACCUUAAACAAUAUAAUCAUUCGUUCUAAAUGAUGCAAUCUUACAAAUUAAAUGAUAUAAACAUUCAUCUUAAAUAAUAUAACCUUUUAUUCUAAAAGAUAUAACUUUCGGAAAAAUAAAUAAUUUUCUUAAUAAACUUAAUGGACAUCAAUUAUAUUAUAUAAUUUUAUAACAUUAAUUAUUAUUCACUUUUUAUGCAUAUUUUUUGUUAUGUGAUAUACAGUAAAUUGAGUUGAAUGAAAUAGAUGAAGGAAGUAGAUAUUGUCGCCCAUGAUUCGGAAUGGCAUGGAAACGAUUUUUUCAAUUGGAAUAAGGAUCAAUUUUUUCUCUGAAAAUUUAAUUGUAUUAAAUUUAUUUUUUUAUCAUUUGUCCCUCACGUGUGCGGUAGUUAAAAAAUAAAUCAAAUUAAUUUUCUGACUGAAAUUUUUUUAUUAAAAUCAACUUAAAAGAUUGAGUAAAUUACAUUGCCAAUAAAUUUAAAAGCAAAUUGUACAUUAUUCUGUAUGAGUGUGUGUGUUUGACUCUUUUGUAAAAUACAAAAAUAUUUAAAAAAAAAAAAAAAUUGUGACCCUCAAAUAUCUCUAUUAAGAAAAACAACUAGAAGAGCAUAACAUUAGAUUUUUUUUUUUUUUUUUUUUUUUUUUCCUCCUUUUAUCCAACCUUGGGCUAACAAAAGCUGUUUUUNNNNNNNNNNNNNNNNNNNNNNNNNNNNNNNNNNNNNNNNNNNNNNNNNNNNNNNNNNNNNNNNNNNNNNNNNNNNNNNNNNNNNNNNNNNNNNNNNNNNNNNNNNNNNNNNNNNNNNNNNNNNNNNNNNNNNNNNNNNNNNNNNNNNNNNNNNNNNNNNGCUGCAUUUAUUCAAGCUGUGGCUAACUAAAGCUGUCUUUGGUAAGUCCAUGAAAUUCAAUAUUAUCUUCAGAUGUGAACUUGUGAACUAAUGAACAUAAUAAACAGAAAAUGAAACGCUAUUUAAAUUACUCAAAACAGUCAACAUAUAGAGAAGCUACAACAUCAACAUACGUCCAAUAUAGAAAAACUACACGCAAAUCUUUUUUCCUUUUUUCUUUUGAAUAUUUUUAUUUCUACAAAUAUACUAUAGCUACUGCAUGCCCUCAACCAAAGAUCCCAUUAAAAUAGUGCAGAAGCUCAUUCUAGUAUCCAUAUGUUGUCCUCUUCAUCAUCCUCAUAAAAUCGUCAAAGCCCACUUCUCCAUCACCUGUACAUUUCAUAAACCAUUACAUUUCUCACUAGAAGAUUUGACGAGUAUCUCAAACUUACAUAAUUAGUACUGAAAAGAAUUGCUUGCGAAAAUGAUAACCUCAGACUUAUAAAAUUAAACUUCUCACGAACACAUUGCAACGACCUAAUGACACACACACGGAAGCGAGCCCCAAAGACCACAUUAACAUAUACAUCUGUGCAUAUAAAGAGUACAGUAAACCAAUAGAUACCAAACAACAAACUAGAACUCCUAUGAAAAACUGAAUAGGAAUUCUUAUAUGUUGCACCUAAGGACAAGGGUGCAUUGCGAAUCCAGUAAGAACAAGUAACCACAAACACACAAAGUGCUAAGACAAAUUUAUAAUUCAAAACAUUUUUCUUAAAAUAAAACAAAGCAUUCCUAUAUGCAUUUGUCUAAAGAGGUCAGUUCCUACUUAGGUUCUGAACACAAAAGUCCUGGGAUUCUAUCUGUGGAGCACAAGAAUUUAACAGUGGAACACUAAAAAGGCCCAGCAGCCCUGCAAAUUAAAAUGCUGCUGAUACAGCAGCUUGGAAAUCAAGAUUACUAUGACUUUACCCUAGAUAAAACUACAACAGAUAAUCUGGUAAUUAGAGUCAUAUACGGCUUAGGUCCACAAACAGGACAGUUUUGAAACCAAAUCAACAUUGCAUUGACAAAUCACAGGGGGUGGUCAACUUAAGGCCCUCCUCCCCACUCCAAACUCCCCGCAGAAUAGGUGAAAAUAUCAUUAGCAAUGCAUUUGAAAUAGUCUGAUCAGACUAAUAUUCAAAAGUAUCUCCAACAAUUUCAUGACAAUUGAUUAUAACACAACUGAUCAGAUAAUGAAUUUUUCUCAGUGUUAUUACAUUUGCUUUAUGACUUUGACUGUAACUUUUAAGCAAAAAAUAUCAUAAAGCUACUGAGAAAAAAGGUGCUUCCAUGGUUAUAAAAGAAGGCCAUUUAUUCCAUCAUUUGAACAACCAAAUUCAAAAUUUGACUUCCAAACGAAAAUAUAAGUGAUUAACAGCUCGAUCAAUGUCAGAGAUACUGUGAAGAACAAAUAAGAAAAAGGAAAUACUUUCAUCCUCCUUAUUUCUUCUAUGCUACUAAGUUCUUAUGUUGUGAAAAAAUUGAGAGAGAAAAUCUUCCAAACACAGCAUCCCUUCUUGGGAACUACAAAAGUAACUAAAGAAAACAGAAGGCACACAAUUUAUAGGGUAUUAUUGUUUUAUAAGAAUGACCAAAUUGAGCAAAGAUGAUAAUAGACGCAUGCAAUUAGAGAAAAGAAAUUAUAUCAAUCACAGAAAAUGAGAAAUUAGUGCAAUUCAGGAGAUAAUGAAUCGAAAAUACAAUUUUAACCUAAACACCAUCAAUGGGGACAGAUCUAGCAUGGGGCGAUGGGGGCACUUGCCCCCAGUGCCUCCAUAUAAUUCUCAUGACAUGUAUAUUAAUAUAUUUUUUUUUUAACUUAAUAUUAUGUACAUUUGCCUCAACUUAAAUAUUUUAAUUUCCCCCCAUAAUUGUUUUUCACUACACUAAUUUUAGUUUAAUAUUGCAUUUAUUGUGUACAAAGACUAAUUAGUGAAAUUUGAAUUGAACAAAACUUUUUGCUUAACCUUUUAAUCUAAUAAAUUCCAACAUAUAACAUGUUAUUAUUUUUCGUUUUGACUUGUGUGGCCGAUUUAUUUAUCUUUUAAAUAAAACUAUCCAUUUAAGAUAACCCGCUCAUAUACAUUCUAAAUUUAACUUUAAUUUAUUUCUAGGAACAAAUUAUACAUGUGUUUGUGUGGAUGUUGCCCCAACCAUUAUGAAUUUCUAGAUCUCUCCAUGAAUAGUUCCUACAAACUCGAUCCAAAACAUAAACAGAAAAACAUACCAUCUCGGUCAGCUUCCCCAACCAUCUCUUGUAUCUCUCUGUCAGUGAAGUUCUCGCCCAGCUCCUUUGCUAUUCUCUUUAUGUCAUCAACAGAUAUGCUUCCCUAAAUCAAGCAAAUGAAAAAAUAAGUUACUGAGAAUAAGAAACUAAACUUAAGGACAAAUGAAAAAAAAAAAAAUCACUCACAUUGUUAUCCUGGUCAAUGAUGUGGAAUGCUUUUGUGAGCUCCUCCUUAGUGUCUCUUUCUCCAAUCUUGGCCGUCAUCAUAUGCUCAAAUUCAUCAUAGUCAAUUGCACCACUGCCAUCCUUGUCUACAUCUGCAAUCAUUUGAUUAAUUUGCUGCAAUGUCACAUUUAAGGAUAUGUAAGCUUUGCAGUUAAGUUCCGUGAAACAGAAUUUGGAAUGAAAGGAUACUAUCAUGCUUACAAAUUGUAAAGAAUGUAAAUCGGCUGGGAAUUUUAUUUUUUCUUAUUGUUCUAAAAUGAACAGUGAAUGAGAAAAGAAUAUCAGAGUGGGAUGUACUCCAGUCUCACACCACGGGCACAAAAAAUAGGAAAAAAGAAACAGUAGAAUAUUAUUUGUGACCAGUGGGAAAUACAGAAAUGACAAAUAUGUUCAUAUACUAAGGCAUAGAAAGUACCUCUUCUGUCAUUUCGAAACCGAGUGCCCUGUUAUAACAUUAGUUUAGUUCCAGUAUUUUCAUGGCUCAAAAUUUUGAACAAUUUUAGCAGAUCUGAAGAGAUAUUCAUACCUCAUGGCAACAUUCAGCUCUUUAGCAUCGAUAGUUCCUGGACAACACAGUCUAACAAAUGAAUAACAGAAUUAAGUACAUAACAAGGACAAAUAGCAAAAAAUAUUUUCAGUACCUGAGCCAUCAGUAUCGAAUAACUCGAAUGCUUCCUUAAUUUCUUGUUUCUUCUGCUGACUUAAACCAUGAUGACGUCCUCUAGGUUUAUCUUUCCUCGAUACUCCUCUGUAAAGAGGUGCCUGUUGAGGUAUAAUGCAUGAAAAAGCAAUCAUCAAAAAAGCAAUUCAAUGAAUUAAAGAAAUCAUCCAACUUGUAUUAACAUUUCCAACAAGAAAAUAUUAUCUUAAUCCGGUGCUCAAUUCUUUACUACAGAAUAUAAGCAAGAACAUAACUGUAAAGUACGCAAAUAACCACAGGCUUCCAAGAAACGAUAAUUCAACCAUUUUUUCUAAUAUUUAUGAAGAAGGGAUGUCCAUGAAACAAAACACUAAAUAAAUGAAGACAUCCAAAAUUCGAUUUGUUCAACAAAAUGGUUUUGACCCACAUCUUGACAAAAAUAAACAAUAGUGUGCCACUAAUUAGUUGGAACCCAAUUUACCCUCUGGCAUUGCUAAAAGAGACAACACGAUUAAUCUGCAUUCUUGAAAACACAUCUCCAUGACAGCCAAAUCUAAGCUAUUGAGCCCGUGCGAAGCAUUCAAGCGCGUACGUAUACAGAAAGAUAAUUUCUAACAAGAAUCAACCUAGAUAUAUUUCCAAUUCCCAAAUCAAAUUAACAAAAUUUCUUGAUGAUCUACAAAAUUCAAAGAGCUUUGAGUUGAUUGUUGAAAAAGCACAGAAAUCAAAUAGGAACAAGAAAAAGAAAGAAAACAACUAAAAUUAGGGUUUCAUGUAAACAACAAACCAUUGGAUUCCAAAGGAUGAGAUGAAAUGAGAUUGCUAACGCGUCUUGUAGAAAUCUUCAACAGAGAAGCUGAAACUUCUUUCUAGAGACUAUACUGAUCGUCUUUUACGGUUCGCUUGCAGAGACUAUAUUGGGCUUGACUAUUCUUCAGACAUAUUACAAGGGUUCUCAAAUUUCAACACACCGAGCACCAUUAAAUUGGGCCAAAGGCCCGUUUGGCUUAGUUCAAUUUUUGUUGUCAUUAAUAUAUUUUCAAUACUACAAUUUUAUUAUUUAAUUUCCCAUUCGAAUAAAUGGUUACUAUUAAAUUUUAAUUUCCUUCUUCACUUUAAUUUGUGAUAUAUUAUUUGUGUAAAACAUAAUUAAUAAUCUUUUUAUUCACCAAUUGCUGAAACUCGAGAUCUCUCAUUUUUCACGUUAAUAAAAAAAUUAACCUACAAUUAUUUUGUUUAAAUAUUUUUUAAAUUAUCGAUUUAUACUAGUUGUUGACAUACUUUAGCAAUAAGUGAGUAUACAGUCUGUAUAAAUCCGGGUUCAAAUCUCUCUCUUUAUAAGAAAAUUAUGAAAAAAAAAAAAGAAAGAAUUUAUUAUUAUUGAUCUAAUUAAAAGUGAACCAUUCACGUUGAAAAUAAAGUACCAUACCAUAGUAAAUGGUAAUGGGACAUUGAUUUGUCUUGGAAUGAGUUGUUUUAUAUGGCAGAGAAGAAUGAGUUGUUUUGGAAUUUGCACUUUACAUCAUUUUCGGUGAUUAAUCUUAUUACCCAGAAGAAGAAAAUGCAACAACCAAUAAGUGAAAUCAAGAACAGAUAGUGUUCUUUCUUUUGCGAAGAGAAAUAAUAUCACUGUUUGGUAUAACAAAAUUGAUUAAACACGUGAACCCAGUAGACAAAAUUUCUUUUAUACAUAAAAGGGAAAUUAAAAAGAGGAAGGAAAAACAAAAGGGUCAGAAAAGGACUUGAGCAAUAACGAAUGCAAUGGCAGAUCGAUGUUUAGGAAGACAAGAUGCUGCUAUCGCUUCCUUCAACAUAGUGUGUGUGUGUGUAUAUAUAUAUAUAUAUAUAUUAGAAUUUCAAUUUAAAAUGUAUAUUAUAUACUUAGCCCAUGCAGUUUAUCUGUCAUAUCUCCAAUUUUUCACAAUGGUUUUAGAGCUAGCUAGGAUGAGUAUGGUGCUCUUAAAAAGAGACAUAGGGACCAGGUAGUGACUCUCGGAGAGAGACUGGUGCAGCAAGUUGACUCCUAACUAGAUAGUGACUUUCGAAGAGAGGUAUACAUAGGGAUAAGAGGUGAAGCAAUAUUAACCCUUGACCAGGUAGUAACUCUGGGAGAGAGACCGGUGGAGCCAGUGAGCAAAUGAAAAGAUCAGAGAGUGACUCUCGGAGACCAAAGAGACCGGUGAAGCAAAUGAGGAUGCUGAUUGGGCAAUUAAUAAACUAAUUAAAUUUCAGCCACAGAAAGUGGCCAUUCCUCAAAAGCUAUGAACAAAUUAGUGCUGAUUAAUUUUGAAAAUGAAAUAUCAUCAUUUGGUAAUGUACCCACCAUUAAGAACAAGACAUGAAAGCUACAAGUUUAUGAAAGAUCAAAGAUGAUUAGAGAAAAAAGCUACAUUACAUAUUCAAAGAUGAAACCAAACUCCCCAAAGCAGAAGAACCUGUCCCUACCACUAAUUUUUAGCAAAAUGAAAUGCUUCUUUAUGAAAAAUUGACAUCUGAUGAUGUUUGUAUUAUUAUUAUUAUUGUGUAUUAUAUAAAAUGAUGGCCAGCUGUGUUGAUAGAUUCUUUCCAAAACUUAGCUUGAAGGCCCUCCUCAGGUACUGGAAAUGGAUCGUAUUGAACCCCACUCUUAUACCUUACUACUUCCCACCUGCAAAAAUAUUUAGACAUUUAGAUUCUUUUUUAUUAAUUUUUUAGUAUUUUUGGUGUUAGAAUAUCUUUAAUAUAUCUCUAAUACCUGAACUUGGUGACCAAAUGAUGGAUUAGAAUAAGCAUCUCAAGCUUAGCAACUUCAUUUCCUGGACAUGCAUGAACGCCAUUUCCAAAGGGCAUGAACGUAUUGGGUUUUGGUCCAACCUUCAUGCAAUAACAUUAAAAAAUAGUUAAUACUAAAAAAAAAAAAAAAAAAAAAAAAGAAGAGAUUCAAAACGCUACUGCAUUUUAAUAAAAGAAAAAAAAAAAAAAAAAAAAAAAAAAAAAAAAAAAAAAAAAAAAAACAUAUUUGCAUAUACCUCAAACCUAGAAGGGUUAAAUACAUGUGGAUCAGUGAAGAAAUCUGGAUUAUGAUGAAUAUUCCGAAAUAAAGGAAGUACUUUCCAUCCUUUUGGAAUUAAGUACCCUAUCAAAGCAUAAACUAAUUAAUUUUGUAUAAAUUAAGGAGGUAUGUAUAUAUAUACAAGGGUGCACGUACAAUAUAAAUAUUUAUACGUACCUUUAUAUUCAACAUCUUCAACCGCUUCUCGAAAGGUGAACGAUAUAACACUUGCCAUCCUCAAGCUUUCCAUUAUAACCUAUCAUUUUAUCGCCAAAUUAAUACCGAAUAUACAUAUAUAUAAUUAGUAAGAAUUAUUGUAAUUCCGAUAGUGAUUAUACCUUAUUCGUAAAGGGCAUAUUUCUAGUUUGAGACCAUGUUAAUGGAUUUUUUCCUCUCCCAUUUGAUUCAUAAAUCGCAUUCUGCUCCAUCUGAAAUAAAUCAAAUUAAAUCUUCUUUAAUUAAUAUUAACUUUCAUGGUAAGAAAUGGAUUGAUUAUUGCAAGAAAAAUAAUUAAUAAGGAUUUUAAAUAAAAUUCAAACCUUAAUAGCUUCAAGAAUUUUUGAGUCGUCAUGGACAUACUUAAGAAUCCAUGUUAAAACGCUAGCUGUAGUGUCUUGAGCAGCGAAUAGUACACCGAUGAUAUUAUCAGUAAUUUGAUUAUCAGAUAACAUUUGACCUUUCUCAUCUUUGAAGUUCAGUAGAUAACCCAAAAGAUCGUUUUGUAUUAAUCCUUUCUCUUUCCUCUCCCGUAUUAUCCAACCAAGAAUCCGGCUUAGCCUUUUUCUUGCCUGAGAAUCAAGAAAAAAAAAAUUAGAUUGUAAAUCGAUAGAGACGUUAGUUAUUUAAUUUUGAAACUUACCAUGACUGAUUUACUGUAUGAAGUGCCAGGUAGAGUUGUUGGAAAAGAAUUAUAACCUUUAUCAAGUAUGUAGUAAUUUAUCUUCAAAUUUUCUCUAUAGUAAGAGUCCAAGUUACCGAAGAUGGAUAAAACAGCAGCAUCAAAAGUGAACUGCACUUGAAAGAAUGGAAAUGGGACAAUAUUAUAGUAAGAAACAAUAACUUAAACAUAACUUUGGAAUUUUCUUUCAAUAAAGGAUUUAUGUAAUGGCCAGGUUGGUGGUUGUUGACUAAGGUUAUCUUGUCGAUUAGUAAUAAAAAUAUAAAAUUAAGAAAAAUGUAACUUUUUAAUAUAUUUCAUAACAUCAUUGGAUUGUUAUAAGUUUGUUGAGACGUGUUGAAAUUGUCAUUUUUUACGUGCAAAAAUCAUGCUUAUUUAAAAUUAUUACUAUGGUAAAAUUGUUUAAUUUGUCUGGAAUCACUCAAAAAAUAAAAAAUAAAAUUGUACUAAAUCCCAAAAAUUAUUAUUAGUGUUUAGAUAUAUGUAUACUAAUAUGUUCAAAACCUUUUGUCAUCUUUUGCAUAAAAAAAUAAUUAAUCGCCCUAAUAAAAGAACAACGAGAUGAACUGACCUUCUUCAUCUCAUGGAAAGUGUUAACGACUUUGGCAGUAGAAGACAAAGAUUCCAAAGUAGAGAUAGCAAUAGCUUCAAUAUGAGGGACCAGGUUUCUGAUCACAUCGAGUGACAAAGAAACUUGUACAAGUUUUCUCAGUUGAGAAUGGUAAAUCCCUUGGUUGAAAAAUAUUGCUGAUGGCCCGAUUAAUUUUUCCUUGCUUGGCGGGUAUGUUGGCUUGAACAAGCUUGCUCGUGUCACCAACACAAACCUAAUAGCCUCUGGGCUAGCAACCAUAACACAAGGACAUCCAAGAAUGCGAGUCUUGAAUAUCUCUCCAUACCUUAAACAAAACAAAACAACUAAAUGAUUGCCAGUUUGAACUACAAUUAGAGUUUAAUUAAUAAAAACAAUAAAUGAUUAGAACAGAAUCAAAUAAUGGAAUAUAUAACUACCUUUGUUGCUUAUUAGCAAAGAAGAUGUCAGGGUUCUGAGAGUAGAGUUGAAGAGUUUCUCCAAUAUAAGGCAAACCCAUUGAACCUGGUGGCAAGUUUCCUCUUUUGAUCUUGUCCUGUUGUCUUCUUUUUAAUCUAAGUAUAGUUAACAAGAAUAGGGCACAGCAAAAACUACAUACAAGAACCAUACCCAUCUUUCUCUCUUUCUUUCUCUAUAUAAAUCAACAAGAAAUGAGAAGUUCUGUGCUCAUAUAUAUAUAUAUAUAUAUAUAUAUAUAUAUAUAUAUAGAAAACUCUAAUAAGCCUUACUGAGUAGGUGAUGUUUUAUAAACUAGGCUGUACCUGAGAAUAUGGUGGCCACCUACAUGAGAGAGCUAGGGUUAAUAUUGUUCAUUAUCAGCUUAAUGGCUUUAAUGUAACUGGACCUAACAAAUUUUGCAGGUUGCGUCAGAAAACAGCUCUGCUUUUAUUAGAGGAAACUUGUGGAGCACCAGGUGUCCUUAAAGAGGAGCUAUAGGACCUUAUGAGACAACAGCCAAUAAGACAUUUGGUGUUAAGCGUUAUUUUGUGCCAGGUUUUUCAGGUCUAGAGUGCCACCUCUCCUCUCUGUUUUACGGGAGGAAUUAAUUUAUGGUGUCUGUUCUUAAUAAAUAAUCAUUUAACCGAAAUAACACGUACACGGUAGCACUAUAAUUUAUUUAAGAGCUGUACUGUAUGCAUAAUAUAAUCAAAUUAAAGGGAAAAAUUUCACAAGUAAAUAAUUUUUUUAGCCAAAAAAGUUAUGACGUUGUUGUUGUUGUUAUUAUUAUUAUUAUUAUUAUUAUUAUUAUUAUUAUUAUUAUUAUUAUUUGAUUUCUGAAUAAAUAUGCUAUAUGCUUUUGGCAUGAGACUAAUAUCUACAAGUAUUUUCGGGGAUCAACCCUCUGAUCUUACCUUUAGUAAAGAAUAUAAAAUGCUAAAAAGAGUUUAGUUUUUUUUUUUUUUUUUACAUUGAAAUAUUGUUCAUAUAUUAUUAAGAGAAGAAACGAGUAAUACAAGCGAAAAUAAUAUUUCAAGUUCGAAAACAAGCCCUACUAGAAACUGAUUUAGCCAAAACAUGAGUUAUAUCAUUUAUUUAUCUUUUAAUCCAAGCUAACGUGACAUUAGACAUUUGGACUAAGAGUAAUUUACAUUCACAUUGGACAUUAGUUGUUAAGUGUAUUCUUAAAUAUUUGAUUCCUUGGAUGUUUAUAGAAAAUCAGUUUUAAAAAGAAAUUCCCGACAUUGGAACGUAUGAAUGAUCUGGACCAGCAACGUUCCUGCCAAGUUUUGAGACGUGGGAUCCACAAGUCUCAGCCAAAUAGUACUUGGAUGUCGAACAUUCGAGAAGGUGACCCAUCUUCCCACGUGGACAGUGCUCGCGCUAUGGGAUGUUUGUCAGGUUAAUGUCACCGUCAGAUCUAGCUGUUCUUGGCUGCGUGUCGAGAUCAAGGUGGUUGGUUCUCUAUCCCAGGUGAGCACAGCAGGACCCUCUAUCCUCGUGGAAUCGGUCACUUUGCAUGCCCAUUGCAUAUUUAUAAUAAAAUAAAACAAUUAUAAUAUAAUAUGUUGAAUAUAAGCCAAGGGUUAUGGAAUAGCCAACCUCCGAUUAGACAGGAGAGCUCUUUAACUCGAUUUUUUUUAAUAUAUAAUCUAUUAUAUAAUUUGGGCGGAUUGAACUUUUCCAUGAAUGAAAAAAGAAAAAAAAAAAAAAGCCACAUGCAAUAUAAAAAUUUGUUUGCCUUGUUUGAAAACUUAAAAAUCGAUUGGCUAAUUAUAUAAUUUAAAUAAGUAAAUUCAAAUUUGAUUUGUAGUUCCUUUUGAAAAAUAAUGAUUUGUUAUUAAAUGAAUUUGAAUAAGUUUUUCUGAAAUUAAGCUUUGAGCAAUUUAUAAACGGACAAUUUCAUUUAAAACUCUAGUAACAAGAUAUAAAUUUCUCAGAAAAUAUAUAAAUAUAAUUUUUUUAAUCAUCAAAUUUUUUAUAAAUUUAGUUAGGUCUAAUUUUUAUAGUAAUUCGAUUUUGAUUGGUUAAUUUAUAGUUUUAGUUUUUUUGUUAAUGGUUUGAUUAAUUAAAUAAUAAAUUUAGAUCACAAUAAAAAAAAUAUUAGUCAAGAAUUUUUCUAUCGAAUAUGCUACGUACGGAAUAAUAAAAAAACAUUUUCAUUUCUCAUGAAUUAUCAACAGAAUGCAAAAUCAAAAUCUUUUGCCGUUGAUCUUACGUUCUUAUGCAAAUCAAAACGUCUCAAUUGAGAUGUCUGAAGCUUCUAAGCAAAAACUGCAUUUAUCAUAAGAAUCACAAGUAAAAAAAAAUAGUCAUCAUGUACUAAUUUUGUUAUACAAGAAAUACCAAAAAUAAUAUAAUGAAGUAAUUGGUGAAAGUGACUCCUUGAAUGUCAUUACGAAGCUUUGGAAAAUAGAGAAAAUGUGAUUUUGCCUAAAAGAGUAUGUCUUUAAUUAGUUUUUUUUUUUUGAAGCAGUAACUCAGAAUAUGCACAUUCCUCUUGCUUGUGGUCUUCAAUUUCUGUAUUUGGAGAAGGUUUAACAACCAGCUCAUGCAUCGUGUAAUGACUCCCACAUCAAAUUUGGAAAUUAACCCUAACUAUUUUUGUAUAAGUGUAGAUAUCCACCUUACGUACUUAACUUGCUAAUCUUUUGGGAAGAGUAUAUAUGAUCUAAUAAAAGGUAAUAUUAGAUUAGAACUGACCUAAUAAUGAUAUUAUUAAAUCACAUAAAAUAAUAUUUUAGUUUAUAUUUUCAGUUACAAAUCCCGCCGAGUACUUAUACAUUUUAAUUUUGGAUCAUAUUUACCGAUAAAAGUUCGGAAAUUUUGAGUAAGUUUUGAAUAAAUGUAUUCAAAUAUGUUUAAAAUAUUAGUGUUAUAUAUGUGUCUAAAAUUUUAAAAUUUAUUUUGGAAUACUCGUAUUUGAACUUAUUUAAAAUAUUUAUAUAUGUUUAAUAUUCAUUGCUCAAGUUAUACCCUCCUAUUGUAUGAGUGUAUUUGAGCUUCCCCUUGGUUUGUGUGACGACUUGCAAAGAAUUAUGAAUGGGUAUUGAUGGGGAAGAAGAAGGAAGGAGGGAGGGGCAUUCAUUAGUUAUCUUGGGAUAGGAUGUGUGGCAGGAAGAGGGAGGGUGGAAUGAGUUCUCGUAAUUUUCGUGGUUUCAAUAUGGCUAUGCGACGUAAGCAGGGGUGGAGAUUGAUUACCGACCCUAACACGCUUCUUUAUAAGGUCUUCCAAGCUAAAUAUUUUCCUAAUUGCGAUUUCCUUAAUGCUAAUCUAGGUAAUAAUUCUAGUUUUGUCUGGACAGGUGUGUUGUCUUCUAGCAUAGUUUUGAAACAAGGGGUGAGAUGGAGAGUAGGAAAUGGUGAGAGUAUUUUUAUCGCUAGAGAUCCAUGGCUUCCAAAGGAGGGUUCUUUUUAUGUGGAGGAUGGGGGAGAUUUUGUUGAUCAAAAUAUUAGAGUAAAGAGCUUAUGGUGGUGGGGGAAAGGAAAUGGGAUAUUGGCAAGCUUAUGUCGUUUAGUGUUAGAGAUAUGCAUGUAAUUCUUAAUAUUCCUCUUAGCUUUAGAAAUCAUGGCGACAAAAUUUUGUGCCAUCAUGAGAAAAGGGGUAUGUAUAGUGUCAAACCCGGGUACUUUGUAGCACUUCAAAGUCUUGGGGAGAAUGCAUACCCGAAUGGAUGAUAAUUUUUUGGAGUAGAAUUUGGAAAUUGGAUGUACCUCUUAAGGUGAGGGAGUUUAUGUGGCGGAGUUUGCGGAAUAUAUUGCCUACUAGGAUAAGAUUGAGGAGCAAAGGGGUAGAUAUUUUGGCUAGGUGCCCUUUUUGUGAAGAAGGUGAGGACGUUAAUCAUGCUUUACUGCAGUGUGAGAGAGCCAAAGGGAUUUCGAGACAUGGAGGCUUUAGAGAUUUUCCCACUAACGGUUAUUUUGUAGACUAUUUCAUGCAGGUCCUGGAAAGCUCCAAUACUUCACGCGUCAACUUAUUUGCUAUUCUUGCGUGGCAGAUUUGGCAGUCAAGGAACAACUUCAUUUGGAACAACAAAGCAGAAUCGUGCUUUGCGAGUCAUGCUAGAGCGGUCUUGUGUUUCCGUCAGUAUGAGGCAGCUUGUGCAUCCAGUCUUCAUGGUCAAGUUUCGCAGAGUCCAGGUCAGGUCCAUCGAAGCUAUAGAUAAGACGUUGUGCAUGUCAAUGACGCAUGGCACUACCACGUUGAUGGAACAGUUUUUAGUGAAGCCUAGUUAGCCGGUUAUAGGGCAACCUUCGAGGACGAGGAGGGCAUCUUUUUUCGUGCAUUAUCUGGCUUUUACGAGGGAUGUCCCAGUCCAGCAACUGUGGAAGCCUGGCAAUCCGUAAGUCUUUAAUCUACAUGACUGAGAAUAUGCUUGGUUUUGGGGUUGUUUAUUUAGAUUCUCAAGUGGUAUUUUUCGCUUUACAGCCCAGUUUAGUUGAUAUCUCCGAGUUUGGUUUAAUUAUCUCUGAUUGUAAACGAUUGCUAGACUCUAAAAUUGAGAUUCACGCAAUGUGAGUAAGGAGACAAGUUAACAUAGAUGCCCAUUGCAUGACUAGAGAUCCUAUUGUUAUGCUCGUGUUCAAAUAGGGGAUAGUAUACCUCGGUGUUUGUUGAAAUAUUUUUCCACAAAAUAAUGAUAUUCAUUUCUCAUUUCAAAAAAAAAAAAAAAAGUUAUCUUUUGAUACUUGUUACUUAAACGGGUUUCAGCAGAUACCAAAUACCCGACAGCCUUAAAUCCAAACCCAAACCCAUAUCAAAUUCAAAUUUAAUAUACUCAUCUCAUGCUCAUUUAAUUUAAUUAAUAAGUAAAUCCAUUUUAAAUGAGUUUUAUGGGUUGAGUACCCAUGAAAACUCGGCCUACUUUAGACAUACAAUAAGUAUUUCAAUUUUUUAUAAAAUAAUAAAUUUGUAAUCCUAAAUUUUAGUUGAAUUUUUAAAUAUUUAAAAUUUUAUUAUUACUUAUUAUUAAUAAAUAUGCUUUCUUUUCAAAAAAAAAAAAAAAAAAAAAAGAUGGAGGAUUGAAGAAUUGGUGAUGUACAGGAAUAAUUCUGUAUCAUAUUGGAGGAUUGAACCUCAUAUAUUAUAAACAUUACGUAUAGCUCCUAACAGUCUAUCUGCGAUUUCUGGCCCAAACAAUCUUGGGAAAGAAAUUCCCAAAUCAUUCUCAAUAGUUUUCUUCUUAACAAUCUCAUCCCUCUUUUUCAAAUAACCUUUCUCCUCCGCGUUCACCUCUCUCCCUCCACAAGCACAACUAUCCAACCAGAUCCCAAAAACUUCCUUUGCAACAGGACCUAUGUGAUUUUUUAUUAUCUCCUCCAUGCGAUCUCCUCCAUCUGCCUCAGUUUCUGCGCGAAUCAAUAUUGCUGUGGGUGAAAAGAGGCUACGGAUAUAAAGCGAUGAAGAGACAUAAGGUUGAAUCUCAGGGAGCUUCUGAAGCAUUUGCCUGUGUGAGUCCAACUGAGAUUUCUCGUAGAAAGUUUCGAGGUAGUCUGGAUAAAAGACAGGGUCUUUUCGUGGAGGCAAAUCAAGAAUAAGGACUAGUGAUGUCGGACUACUCCUGAUGAGGUCCAUUGUGAUGUUUGGUGCAUCAGUUGAAAGGUUCAAAUAAGCUGAAAUGUUUGUAAUGUUCAAUUCUGCACCAGUUGGUAGCUUGCAAUGUAGCCAACUUCCUAGUAUGAAAUCAACCUGACAAAUACCAUAUCAACAGAACAAAAGUUAUUAACAAGAAGACUGAAAGAUACUUUUUUAUAAUUUUAGUAAAGAGAAGCUGGAAAAUAUCAGAACUUUCUUAUGAAUUAAGUACUGAAAAACUGUGGAUUUCUUCAGCAACUAACUAAAAAUAGAAUAAAUCAGCCAAGUAAAAACUGGCUGCUGUAUGUUAAUUGUUUAGGAAUGGGUUCAGCUAGCAAUCUGCCUCAAUCAAUUCAAUCUCAACCAUAUAUGAAGACGAAGGAAGUAAAAGUAUGAACCAAAACGCUCAAUCUCAAAAUACGUUGAGCAGAGACUUUCUGAAUUUCUCACAUAAAGAAUAAUAUAAGACUCAAUCCAGGUCAUUGACUCAAGCUUGGAUUAUGAAAGCAUCAUCUCAGAGUAGAACCCUUUUCAACCCUUGCAUCAACAGUUCCUAAUACCACAAAACUCACUGAGAAUCCACACCCAGAAGAGCUGAAACAAACAAUUCUGAAGGAAAAAGACUCAGAGCCUAAAAUGAAGAUCCAAAAUCACACGAUAUUGAACUAAGUAUACCAGUACUGUAGAGACUUCCCAAGGCUUCCAUGCUUUGUAUGUGAAGUUAUUACUAUCAGUUUGUUACUUUUUCAAGAAUCAUUGAGCCCCAUUACUCAUAGGUUGUUUAAACUUGCAUAAUAUGCUUGAGGCUUGUUAACAGCAUAAAUACAGCUUACCUUGUAAUAUUCUACACAGAGUAAAGAAUUCUGACAAAUCAUCAUUCAGUACUUAAACCAGAUUGAAAGCUUAAAAUAAAACUAACAAUAGCACUUUUGCGUCUGAUUUGUAGAAAUCAGCAUCAAUAAUUCGAAUUCUUAAAUCAAAUUAUAGUCUAAAGUUAUGUUUGGAAAAAUGGAAUUCACUUAAUUACAAAUGAAUUUCAUAUAAUCAAUUUUUAAAUAAACUCGAAAGCGAAAUAUAUUAAGUAGUAAAUAUAGAAAUUCACUGGCUAAUUCUACUGAUACUAAUCAAAUCCAUAUUUUUAUAGUCUUGCUAAUACAGAGUGGGUUUAAAAUCUUAUCACUUUUGGUAGGAGACUACUAAAAAGAAUUAAAAAAAAAAAAACAAAAUUUAAAAUGAAUGUUUAUGCAUACCAAACAUAUGCAUGAAGUAACCAAAAGAUCGAAAUUUCAAAGGCAGUGCAAGGAAAUUACUUACAGGGGAAUAUUGGUUACCGGAUCUGAUAUGAAGCGAGUUUCGGGCGGUUCCAGUUUCGUUCUGGCAGUAUUGUACGUCGGGUGGAAGAGUACAUGGUAGGAGUUGCGAGCCAAGCCGAUUCUCUACUGUAGAUACAAGAUCAACCAUCAAAGCCUUGUGCGAAGCCGAGACGAAAGGGUAUUCCAUGAGCUUUGCACGUCCCUGAUUGUGCUGAUCCAUUGAGGAAGAUGAAAAGGCAGAGAUUUUGGUUGUGGAUAAUUUGAGUAGAGGUGAAGGAAGGGAAGAAAAACAAAUUGGAAAGUGUGAAGUCUUGAAGAAGGUAAAGCUGACAGCCAUUGCAUUUGUAGCCACAGCCACAGCCACAAAACAAAAUCUACACUCUCCUGAUAUUUAUGGUUACUUAUCGUCUCCAUUUUUAUUUUCUUCUAGUCCAUGGACAUGAAAGGGAAGGUUUCGAAGCUGACACUCGUUAGUUUUUAACUUUUUUACUUUCAUUUUAGACAAUGAAUAUUGGUAACAAGUUUUAGUCCAUGGAGUCUCUGCUUGGCGCUUUCAAAGUGCUAUGUUUAAAAUCAAAUUUUAUAAAACUUUUUGAAAUUAAUUUUGAUUUUGUCAAUUGAAAUUAAAAUAUUUUAUAGGAAAAAAUUAAUAUUAAACUCUUAAAAGUAAUAUCAUUUCAAAAUUAUUCAAUUACAUAAAUGUCAUUUAUAAUUUGUAUUUUAAUCUCCUAAAAUUAUAAUAUUAUUUAUUAUUUUUGAAUAAAUAAAACUAAUUAGGAGCCAAUUAUAUAGUCUGGUUAUUUUUUUUUAUUAUUAUUGUCUAUAAAUGGAAGGUCUCGAGUUUAAAUUCUCUCGACUACAAAAAUUUUUACUCAACAUAUUAUUUCGGCAUAUUGUAUCUCUAAUGAAUUAAAAAGAUAAAAUAAAUUGAAUGUAGUAGUAUUAAUUUAAUUUAAUUAAUUUUUUUUGCAUAGCCUACAAUGAUUUCCAAAUUAGAAAAUUUAAUGAUUUAAAUUUGGUUUAUUUUUCAAUCAAUUAGAAUUAAAUUAUUAAUUGUUCAUACCUAAUAAUAGAUGCCAAAUCAUUAAAAAAAUCUCAAACUUUGCCGCUAAUUUUAAUUGUAGCGUAAAUCUAACUUUUUUCUCCUAUUAUUUUGAAUUUAAAUUUUAGUUACAAUAGUAUCCGAAUAUCAAAUUUUAUUCAAUUUAAUGAACAAAAUAUUAUUUUUGUGGGACCCAAUUUAAUCUUUUUUCCAAAUUAGACUCUUUUCCACCACUACUUAUAAAUAAAUAAAAUAUUUAUAUUUAUUUGUAUAAAUAAUAAAAUAAAAAUAAUUUAUUCAUUUUAAAUAAAAUAUUUUUAUUUAUUAAUUUAUUUAUAUUGACAACAAGUAGUGAUUUCCUAAAAAAUAAAAUGACAUUGUGAAAUCUAUUUUUAUAAGAGAUCUAACAUAAGUAGUAGAAACAAAAACUUAAACUAAUAUUCUACGCUUAUAACUAACUGAAAUUUAUUAAUUUAUUUGGCUUUUUAUGAAUUUAAAUUUCUAAUCAAUAUUAGUUAGGUUAUUAUUAAACUGUGAAUUUUAUUCAAUUAGUUAGGUUGUUGUUAAACUCUGAAUUUUUAGUUAAUUUGACUAUAAGAGAGAGUAUAAAUCUAAUGAAAAUAAUAUUUUAUUUAUCAAAUUGGAUCCAAUUUGAAAUUAAAGAGUUAUUGCAACUAAAAUUAAAGUUCAUAAUACUAGAAGAAGAAGAUUGAAUUUAAGGUACAAUUGAAAUGAAACGCAAAAUUUGGAGUAUUUAUAAUGAUUUAGCCAAUAAUAGAAGUGAAAUACCUUUGGGAAACUCAUCGACACAAAAAAUGUUUCAAAAAAAUUAAGUUAUUUGUAUAAAAUUAAUAAUACUCACAUAUUGUUUAAAAAUUAAGAUAUUUUUUAUUAUUAUUUAUCACUCUCAUAUAAUGAAAUAACCAGAAUUUUUAUUUUCAAAGAUUUUUCGUUUAAAUUUAAUAAACUGACAGCGUGGAAAAUGUAUUUAAAUAUUUAAACGUGAAUUAAUAAUUUGUACAGUGAUAAACCGAAUCGAAAACCAAUUGAAAAAUGAAAAAUCAAACAAAACCAAGAUUUGGGCCGAAUCGAAUCGAAAUCAAAUCGAAUCAGCCCAAACCACUUCUAGAAGCCUCUCCCCUCUAUAUCCAGCGCAAACUUCACCCUCCCCUCACCAUUUCUGCAACACCUCCAGCAGCGCCACCACUGCCACCUCCUCUUCUUCUCUUCCUCCUUUCUCUUCUUUUCUUUCUUUCCUUCUCCUUUCUCUUCACCUGCGUUGCGUUUCUGGCGAGAAACAGAGCAGCAGCAGCGGCACCAGGUCGAUCGCGCCACCUCGCUGCCGCUCGCCGUCGCAGUAGCUCCGCCAGCACCGUUCCUCAGUUCCCGUUCAGGCGAGCACAGUUGACAGGAGCAGCACCACAGUCGAUCUAUCGCGCCACUGCCCUGCCGUCGCUCCAGCGCGCCUCCGACCACNNNNN
RNAcentral lists this long non-coding RNA (49502 nucleotides) under Jatropha curcas. Its description in RNAcentral is "long non-coding RNA (JCUR_LNC002084)". The record is from RNAcentral. Lineage: Eukaryota; Viridiplantae; Streptophyta; Magnoliopsida; Malpighiales; Euphorbiaceae.